Molecule: long non-coding RNA, 46348 nt
Filed under: Triticum aestivum (bread wheat)
Lineage: Eukaryota; Viridiplantae; Streptophyta; Magnoliopsida; Poales; Poaceae
Description: long non-coding RNA (TAES_LNC005343)
Source: RNAcentral
UAGGCUGUUGUUGGCGAGUUGCUUCGGAGAAAUAGCUUUCAAGUAAUAUGGUUUGAGGUAGAACAACAUAAUAAUGGUAUUGGUUGGCUGGUUUGAGUUAGAACAACAUAAUGAUGGUAUUCGUUGGGUGGCAGUGUGUUGUCUCAUUGAUCAUACAAGGCACUCUCAGUUCCAAACAUCUAUAUGUAUGCUCAGAUUACUCGAAUUAUGUUUACAUUCUCAACAUAUGGAGUCUCUACAUAUUUUUUUAGCCGAUGGAGUGUCUACAAUUGAGGAUGAUGGGAACAUUGCUAUGCUAUUAACAAUCUCAAUUUCAGAAUAAAUAUGGACAUCAUACAUUGCAGUGAUGUUCCCACAUAGUAAUUUGUCUGUCGGUUUCACUGUAUUUGACCAUAUUCUUGCAGUUAUACACGCCUAAAAGAGUUAAGCAGCACUUAUUAAGCAUGCAAGUGACGGCGUGGGCCAGUUGAUCAAUUCGAUUAUCGGAAAUUCCAAGUUUAUUUUAUUAAGGCAGAAUCCCUUCCUGAAUACACCGGCUGCAAUAACUGAACUAAACGUCUUUCAGGGCAUUGAGAUAUUUUUUUUUUGAAACGAAGGCAAAAGAUUUGUCUCAUCAAUUAAUUAAAAAGAAGAGAGUUGUCCAGUUAAUUAACGGAAAAUCGGGCGAAAACCGAAGACAAGGCGGCCGGAAAAAAGCGGGUGGAUUUUCAGUCACACCGCUCAUCGUGCCUAAAGGCACUCUUCAUAGUCUGACCAAGCUUGAACGGGCUUUUCUCUGGUCAGGUGCUGACAAGACUACGGGAGCCAAGUGCAAAGUGAAAUGGGACACAGUUUGUAGGCCCAAGGAGUAUGGUGGCUUGGGGGUGCUUAACUCUGAAAAAUUUACGCGUGCCCUUCGCCUUAGGUGGCCUUGGUUCGAAUGGAAGGAGCCCCACAGACUGUGGGUUGGUUAUGGCAACCCCUGUUCGGAGGAUGAUCUCAGCUUCUUUUAUGCCUCCACCACCAUUACUCUGGGAAAUGGAGCCAAAACGCCUUUCUGGAAUUCUCCUUGGCUCCUUGGCCGUAUGCCCAAAGAGAUCGCCCCACACAUCUAUGAGGCCUCCAGGAGAAAGAACUGGAAGGUUAGGGAGGCUAUUAGAGGGAACGCUUGGAUCUUCAAAAUCAUCUACAACACCGUCAUCACCGGAGAUCACAUUCGUGAGUUUUUCACUCUUUCGAUGCUUCUGGAUGACGUCCAUCUUGAUGAGCAUCGGGAGGACGACAUCACCUGGAAGCAUUCCAAUGAUGGGGUGUACUCGACAGCCAGUGCUUAUAAAGCUCAAUUUCUUGGGUUAACCUUGUCACCAAUGGAUCGCAUGGUCUGGAAAGUUUGGGCUCCUCCGAAGAUCAAAUUCUUUGCCUGGUUGGCUAUCCAAGAUAGGAUCUGGACUGCGGACCGCCUGGAGAGGCGCGGGUGGGCCAACUGCGGUCUGUGCCCUCUUUGUUCUAGGGAGCAGGAAACAGGUGCUCAUCUUCUCUUCAAGUGCCGCUUCACUAUUCGGCUUUGGAGGUCUCUCGCGGCCAAGCUCGGUCUUCAUCACAUUGAGACCUCCAGGUGGCAUCUUCAUGGCUCCGUCCUAGAUUGGUGGGAGGAUGGUACUGGGAGCCACGUCCCCAACAGGAGUGCCCUGGCCUCCCUAACCCUCCUUGUCUCCUGGACCAUCUGGAAUGAACAUAAUGCUAGGGUGUUCCGACACAAAAGUGCUCCGCCGCCUAUUCUUCUUAACACAAUCCUGGAGGAGGCCAAGCUUUGGGUUACAGCUGGAGCAAAGAAACUAGGGCGUAUUGUAUAUCGAGAGUAGUCCGCAUGCCGUGCUUAAGGUGGUUGUUGUAACACUCUUAUCUACUCUCUCUUAUUUAAUCGAUGAGGCAAAUCUUUUGCCUCCGUUUCGGAAAAAAAACACUGCAAGACCAAAUUGUAUCCAGCAUCCACAGUCCAAGAAGUAGCAACAGAUGACAAGAUCCACAAAUCUGCUCUGUGCAAAGAACAGUCACAUGCAGAGAGAGGGCACACCAGAAAACAAGACCAAAAAUGUUUCUAUCCAUAACCUCAUACAAGAUAUUGUAUAUAACAGACAUAUGAUAACGUGAUAACUGCCAGGACCAAUCAUACAGAUAUAAGCAUGGGCAGAUCCCAGCUACUCGAUCCUGUCUUGUACGGUCACCACUAAAUCAUGGGCGUCGUCCAGGAGCUUCCAAAUGUCCAGCUGCCCGGCCAUGCUGUUACAGUCCCUAAUGAUCUCAUCCAUGCUGCUAUAGCUCUCUAUUAUCAAUUUCCUCUUCUCCAGUACACUGGCUGCAAUUGCAUACAGCAGCAGGUCAUCAGUUGGAGGGGCUCCAAGCUGAAGUUUUCUCCAGGAUGAUCUUGUGAUCCCAGCCCGCCUCGCUGCCUGAUCGGCCCACAUCGCCUCCCACAGGCUGAGGGUCUGCUCGAAGGUGAGCUCCCUCCGGAACAUCACAACCACCAUUCUAUAGACGAAGAAGCAGUCUGCAGCUUCAAGCAUCUCCAAGUGCCUGUAAAGAUGGAAGUCCUUGGUUUUUAUUAUCUUGGAGACCAUGUUGAGUUGCCUGCGAAUACCCACUUCAUCGAGUCUGAAGUUGUGGCGGGCUUUCCUCAUGAAACCGGCAAAGCACCAGAAGGCUUCAUCGUCUUCCUCCAGCACAGCAAGGAGAGGUGCAAGGAGGUCACUCAUGCCCUGGCAAUAACCGAUUUCUGGGUCAUAGGUUGCGUACGCCUCAAGUAUUGCAACAAGACGUGACGCAUGAUGGAUCCUAUGUGCUUCCAAGUGCUCAUAGUCUUUGAGACAAACAGCUGAAGCAGAUUCAAUUGCCUUCUCUCUGGUAACCGCAGCUUGCGAUGGAGAGUAGGAAACCCAUUCAUUAUUAGCACGAACUGCAUCCAAACGAAUUAUCCGCUGCCAUGUCUCAAAAUCCUCAACUGUCCGUGCAGACUUCACAGGACGGGCAAUCUUAGAUAACUUAGUUUCAGUUUCUAUAUUUCCUCCUGUGUUUGAAUAUUUGGGCAGGGGCAUACUUUCUUCUUCAUCCUCAACUGAAGACUGGUCCACAGAGGCGACAUCAUCACGGGAUGCUUCCACAUCGGUCACAUCACUUUUCUCACUCUCAUCCUCAUCACGUGAACUAGAUGAACAGAGGCUUUCAUCCGCCUGAUUCUCUGGAAUUGCUUUACCUGUCUUAUCCUGCAUUUCUUGCUCUAAAAUGACACAAGGAUUUUCUUCCUCACUCGUGAUAUGAUCAUCCACGCUUACUUUUUCAGGUUCUCCAGAUCCAACAGAAGUAACAGAUUCUUUGACUUUGCCUGAACUAAUGCUCUCUUUGUGAUUGACUGAUCGCUUGCUUUCUUUAUUGUUUUUUCGCAGGCAAUGUUUCCUCAAGAGCAGAUAUCCCUUCCUACAUAAAUCAUCCAACAUUGUCAUGUUUUACACUAGACCCCAUGAAAAUAACAUUUGCAAACACUUAAGUGUUCCUUAAUUAAGGAGCAAUGUAUUUCUGUAGUGGUAAAGAAAACUAUAGUGAGACUGUGGGCAACCAUGGACUGGAGUCAUGAAACAUAGAUGGUUGAAAAAAUGGUGUACCUGUUAUGGGCCUUAAUUGCUUCCCUUUCAGCUUCUGAACUAUUCAGGCUAUAACUGCACGAGAGUCAAAAAUUCCAAUUACUCGAGGUAAACACUCUGACUACCCCAAAAAAAACGCACAUGUGACUAAGUACAUAAAAUUUCCACGAUGUAUCUCUUACUGUGCCUACCAGAGAAGGCUGAACUAUGUGCAAAAUUGGUGUAUUCGUAAGUUUUCCUUCAUCUACUUAGUUUAGAAUCAAUCUAAAACUGCACGCAAUAGUUUUGAUACUACAAAUGAACAGGAGCGGGGGGCAGGUAGCCUGGGAAAAUCCUGUGGAAAACACUAAUUUCCACAUUUACAUACUAACAAAAAGUACAAAAGUGAGUAUGCCUCUCUUAAGUUGGCCCUAUCUAUGUUCUGUUCAAGUCCCAAAACUGAAACAGUUAAUUAUAAAGUAUAAAGCCUCACUCAAAUGCAGAAAAGAUGAAUCAUGUAAAAAAAGGAACAUCAACAGAAUCUGUUGCUAAAAAUACAAAACGAUGUUAGCAUGAGUUCCUCAUGUGCAAGUAUCUCGUGGAUCUAAGUAUACAUCUGCAAGCAUAGCUAAAUCUGUCCUCGGAUCACAAUGUCUAGAGUACUUACACUCCAAGAAGGAACGGCCAGACCUCUGCUCUGAUGCUCGGCUCAACCCCCUGUCACGAAAGCAGACAGCUCAAUAUAAUGACUUUGUAAGCUACAUCAGGAACUCACAAGAUAGCAAGGAAAUACUGUAACAAACAAACUAAGCUUCACUAUAUCUUACUCCGUUCCGAACUCUCUUCAGUAGCUUGACGCCACCGUCGUAGAACUUCCCCUCCGGCGUGAACAAGCUACGCCAUUCCUUGGGCCCAAGCGCGGGCUUCCUCCGCCGCCGCCACGGCGAUUUGAUCCCGCCCCUGCAUCCAGAGCGCGCAUAUGCAACUAAGGGGACGAAGCACAGGACCACCUUUGGCAGAAGGGGGGGAGGGUUUGGGUCUGGCGGUGGCCAACCUGCGGGAGGAGACGACGAUGGCGACUAGCGCGAUGCCGGCCGCGGCCGUGACCCCGACGGCGACGGCGGUGUUCCAGCGACCGCCAUUCGCGCCGGCGGGGCCGAGGAGGCCGGCGACGGCGCGCUCGGCGAGGCCCCACGCCCACAUCGGGCGCAGAUGCCCCCCUGAUCGCUCCACGGCUCCCCUCCGGCUCUUCCCCCCGCCGCCGCCGCCGCUGCGAUCCCCCAGCUCUGCUUCCUUCGAUCGAUUGGGAUUCCGGCCUCCGGGUUUCUCCUUUUUCCUCUUCCUUUUUUUCCUCUCUCUGCAGUUCUCGCGCUGUCCCGUCUGACGAUUUCGACGAAAGUGGUGCGUGCGUGCGUCACUGAUCGAUAGGGCCAUGUUCGUGGGCCUCACGAGGCGGGUUCGGGUCGGUGUAUACGUCGUUUGACGUUUGGUGCCUACCGAUCGAAUGAAGAAACUUUGAAAAAAAAUCUAAAAAAAUGGUUUUCGUAGUUCUUUUUUUAGGGUAUGAAAUUUCCUAGCAUCAAGAUGUUGGGUGUUAGACUCUCGAUCCAGUUUAACUCACAGCACAAUGCACCCUUACAGCAAACAGUGGCGGAGCCAGCUAUCUGGCAAGGCCUGGCAGCUGCCACACCUAAAUUUGAACCAAAUAUACUAGUACACCUACGUGUUGGACAUGGACUUGAUACUACAAGUACGUAGCUGGUGGGGAUGAUGUAAAACUCUGCCGAACAGAGUACGAGUACAUGCAUGAUAAUAGAAUAUGGUACUUAAAUUUGGAUUUUAGUUGUAUUUGCAAAAUACAAAGUUACCUAUAUAUAAUAAUAAAGAAAAUUGGGUUUCCGUCGUCCGUCGUCGCUAGCGAUUUUGCAAAAUAGUCCCUAUUGUUUCUGGUAUUCAACCCGCAGUUCCUUUUUAAGUGGAUAUAUGAUAUACGUUGUUCUUACAAAAAGGACCCUGCGUUUUGUUAUUCAAUUGCUGGCGAGCGAGACGAGCUGGAGGUUGAGGCUGGCCGCGAUACAGACGAUGCCCGGCGCGGGGGCUGCGAUCUCCGGCGAGAUCCGGUCGAGGAGGCGAGGCCGAGGCGAUCCGGUCGAGGAGGCGAGGCCGAGGCGAUCCGGUCGAGGAGGCGAGGCCGAGGCGAUCUAGGAGGCGCGGGAGCAGGUCCAGCGGCGGAGCUUCAACUCCAAGUACAUGGCAGCGGCGUUCCUCGCCGGUUCCGAGCGAGAUGGGGCUGCGAUGCAGACGAUGUUGGGCGCGGCGGCGGCAAUCUCUGGCCAGAUCCGGUCGAGGAGGCGAGGUAGGGGCCGGAUUAUGUUUUGGGGACGACAUGGAGGCGAUCUACAAGGCGCGGGAGGAGGUCCAGCGGCAGGGCUUCAACUCCAGCGGGCCCCCUUUCGAUGGACGGGGCCGCCCACAUCGCCGGUGACUCCCCGGAGGCCAACAGGGCCUCCUCCUCCGCGUCCUCGACCGACUCGGCCUCCCGGCGCUCCCGACCGCGGAAGGGGAUUCACCUGCGGCGGCGCCGGCGACUGUUGUUCGCUCGGAGAGGAGAGGGCGGCGAAGGUGACGGUAAGGACGCCGAUGACGACGUGCAGGACCUCGCACUGUCGCCGGGGAUGUCCUUCGCGGUGGUUCUCGCCCAGGUGAGUGUCCACUCCUCCCGGUGUUCGUCAUGUGUUCUCCCUCUCCCUCUGCGCCCCAUGUCGCUAUUCUCAUGUUGCUUUUGUCGCAGCCAGAGGCUCAACAUCAGGGGCCGCGUAUACCCAGCGAUGCUCCCCGUCGACGGCAACAAAGUCCCCGGAAAGGUGCAUGCAAUCCCACGCGCACACAUCCCGUAUACUUGCUGUUAAUUUCUUAUUUUGUCCACUGCAAGUUAAGAUGUGAACAAUGGCGAGUACUGUCAGUAUGGAACGGUUGAAGUGCAGAACGAGUGACAAUCUGUUCAUGUGUCUAGGUUUGGAAGGGGAUCACUGAUGGGGAGUUCAAUGUGCUGGACACAUUUGAAGAUGAACAGUAUGUGAGGGAAGUUGUUGGCAUCUCACUGACUGUAAGUCCAUUCGCUGGCCUAGGUCUCUGCUUCAGCUCAGGGUAGCCGGAUUUAUGAUGACCUGCAAAAUUCAGUGAAAUGUUUAGUUCAAAUCAAUUAUCCUGACACCCCUUUUCAUGAUUGAGCCUUCUUAUUUGGGGCACACAGAUAGAACUGCUAUCAAUUGGUUUUGUUCUAUCAUGAAAGACCACUUUUCGUUUGGCACUUAAGAUAGAAAUUCUUCACUAGACUGUUCCACGGAAAGAGGAUUGAGUACUUCGGAUUUGCAGGAUUCGGCGGAUACAAUGAUGGCCUAUGCAUACAUAUGGGGGAAUGUAGAUGAUCCUGACCUCUAUAGUGAAUGGGAUUUUGACGUGAGUAUUUCCCUUCAUGCUAAUUGUAAGCAUUUUCCGUAUAUUGAUUGAAAGACAGACAAACACCGCCACUAUCUAACUAAGCGCAUGCACCAAUUUGGUGAUGCUAUGAGAAGCAAUGCUGUUGCAACAUAUGUUUAUUAAAUUACAUGUAUAAUGCUACUAUUUGUUAAACAAUCUCCAUUUUCUCAGCUAGCCCAAUACUUUUGCUAAUCAGAAUUUUGGUACGGAGAAUAACAUCACUAAUUUACUAGCUCUAAGAAAAGCACAUGCUUGAUUUCUUGAAUACGUCCCUAUGUGCUGUCAACUUGUAUGUGCUGUUUGGCAAUGUCUUAUUUUCUUUGGAUUCCCGGGGCAUAUUUCAGUAGUAUCCAUUCAAACAUUGACCUGUACUACUAUGCUGCUUCUCCAUCACUUCUGGUUCAUGAAGGUCGACGGCCCUGCCGACGCAAGGGAUCUCGGGUCGCCGUCGCCAUUUGGGAGCUCCCUCUCCUUCAUGCCUUCUUACCGUGGUGCCAGGGAUCAACGGCCGGACGCCAGCAUGACGGAGCUAUUGUGCUGCUGCCUCAGGUCGUCCAGGCUCGUCCUCGGUCCCAGCCACCCAUCAUCAAGAUCCGACGUCCUCUGUCCUUUUUUCCGAUUGAUGUGAGUAAGCCUCCACUACCCGCUUCCAACUCUGUAAAAUUUGCUGUUGUAGUUGGCAUGAGAGGCCGCCUUGAUGCAAAGCUACAAGUUUACGUGGGUGUUGCUGGCCGUUGCCCCCUUGCCCCCUGGCCAGCAGGGUCUUCCAUGACCAGGGCCCCCAAGCUAAGGAGUAACAUGCUGCAGCUUCUGCCCACCACCAUGCAUGAGACAUGGAAAUCUAGAAAGUUGUAGGUUUGUGCGACACUCAUGCUCACCAUGUGUUUUCUGAAAUGCUCCCAUGUAGAUAUAUAUAAAUUGAUGUUUAUAUAUUAUAAGCAUUUGUAAAAUGUUCAUGUACAAUGCAGUAUGCAACAAUAAAUCACAUCUCCCAGCAAUGGCUACUUACCAUUACUCUUAUCACCUUAGACUAAGUUGUAUGAAUUAGAUGACUCGGCACUUAUGUUUUCGUAGUAGGUUCUGUGUCCUUCGCGCACUUACAAUUCAGAGAUACAUUUGGUACAUGGCUGAUUGACUUUGUUCGUGUGGAUUACCAGUUUAGCAGCAAUGAUUGACUUUGUUUAUGUGGAGUACCAAUGUAGCAGCAAGUCUGUUGUAACUUUGGCAACACAACCAACAUCAAGUGUCACACUGGUAGUCUAGGGUCAGUUCAAAAUUCGAAUUAGUGUUUAGUUUAAUCUACGUGUAGUUCAUCGUCCAUUUCUGAAUCACCAAGGAUUGAUUUUAUUGACACAAGAUUCUCUACCUGUUGUUUUCUAUUAGGUAAAAACAGUCAUUGGCUCCUCAUGUAAUCUACAAUAAGUAUCCCUUUUGACACUCAUUUAAGUAGAAUUCUUUAUUAUUAUUGUGGAAGCAGAAACACACUUGAGAAGGAUUUCAUUUAGUUUGUACUUUGAGUUUCAAAGUCUAUUAUUGACAUGGAUUUUCCUUCUGCUAGAGAGGCUGAAUCUACAUCAGAACAACGGCAAGUUAACAAACGAGGAGGUUGGAGUUGUACUGUGACUACUGUUAGAUCUGGUUUUGCACUUCCGAAUUUUAUUUGAGAAUGAAUCUCGAAGGUAUAUUUUCUGCAAAGUGCUAGUGCCCUCCUACAGAUGACAAGAUUUUCUUCUUUUAAUUGUAAUGAGGCAUGAGCCACAAACUCUUCAUAGAACUUUGAAGCAAAAUAUUGAUCCCCUGCAUGCAUAUAUGAUUGCAAACCAAUUUUUUUUAAAUCCGUUCCUUUUUACAAUAAUAUUUUCCUGGGUGAUGUAACAUAAGUAUAUUAUUGGUACAAUUAAGUGAUAUGAUUAGUACUUGAUUUAUCUGGGCAUAAAAAUGUCUGAGAUAAUAGCUCUAGCACUCAUGCCCACAAUUUGAAAAUGGUAGGACUAUCCUUGACCCAUAUAGAAGUGAUAACCCCCCNNNNNNNNNNNNNNNNNNNNNNNNNNNNNNNNNNNNNNNNNNNNNNNNNNNNNNNNNNNNNNNNNNNNNNNNNNNNNNNNNNNNNNNNNNNNNNNNNNNNNNNNNNNNNNNNNNNNNNNNNNNNNNNNNNNNNNNNNNNNNNNNNNNNNNNNNNNNNNNNNNNNNNNNNNNNNNNNNNNNNNNNNNNNNNNNNNNNNNNNNNNNNNNNNNNNNNNNNNNNNNNNNNNNNNNNNNNNNNNNNNNNNNNNNNNNNNNNNNUCAUAAGCUCCGCCACACCUGAAAAUUAUUUCUGCAUUCGACACUGACAGCAAAGGCACACUGUUUUGCAAAAAAAGUGAAACAGAAAAAUAAGCCGAUGUCGUGCCUUUUUAUCAAUUGGAUGCAUUUUUUUUCUCUCAUGUGGUUCUCUCUUAAGUAGUGUUGAUUCACUAUGGCUCCAUAUACUUGCGGUUGGGCUAUGCGAUCCGAGAUGAACGAGAAAUGCACGCUCUUCAUCCUGGUUUGGCCCCAUGGCAGGAUGGCAAUGCUUUUGAUCAGCAUCGUUGUGCCUCCUAGUGUCGUCGCCUGUUUUGCUGCCAUGGCAGCACUUUCUUUGAAUUAGGGUGCUAACAUCCCCUCCUUGAGAUACGGCUUGAUCCCAAGCCAAUAGAGCAGGGCGCGCUCCUUCGGGUGAAUUGUGUCUUCCUAGGUGGCGUCGAAGACGGUGGGAUCGGACCAAUGAACGAAGAUCCGCUCCCUCCGUUCAGUUGGAAUCAUUCUCUGGCGCUGGUGAUGACUUCAACGGGAGAGAGCACGACUUCUUAUGGUUUUGGCAGCUCCGUCGUUGCAGUGGUACCUGGGGUAAGAGCCUAUCGGAGUAGUGGACUUGGAAGAUAGGUGGACCUUUGAUACAUCUCGAACGCAUCUACUUUUCCUAACGCCUUUCCUCUUGUUUUGGACUCUAAUUUGCAUGAUUUGAAUGAAACUAACCCCGACCUAACGCUGUUUUCAGCAGAACUACCAUGGUGUUGUUUUUGUGCAGAAAUGAAAGUUCUCGGAAUGGAAUGGAACUUUGCGAGGAUUUUUUAUAUCAAAUAAGAAAAUUUCUGGAGUCAGGAGGUAGCUGAGGGGGGCACCUGGGUGGGCACAACCCACCAGGGUGCGCCAGCCCCCCCCCCCCCCCAAGCGCACCCUGGUGGGUGCUGCCCACCUCGUGGCCUCGCUGACCCUCAAACCGAUGCUAUAAAAUCCCAUAUUUUCACAAAAAAAAUCAAGGAGAAAGAAUUAUCGCGUUUCAUGAGACGGAGCUGCCGCCGUCUCCUGUUCUUCAUCGGGAGGCCAGAUCUGGAGUCCGUUUGGGGCUCCGGAGAGGGGGAUCUUCGAUCUUCGUCAUCACCAACACAUCUCCAUCGCCAAUUCCAUGAUGCUCCCCACCGGGAGUGAGUAAUUCCUUCAUAGGCUCGCUGGUCGGUGAGGAGUUGGAUGAGAUUCAUCAUGUAAUCGAGUUAAUUUUGUUAGGGCUUGAUCCUUAGUAUCCACUAUGUUCUGAGAUUGAUAUUGCCAUGACUUUGUCAUGCUUAAUGCUUGUCACUUUGGGCCCGGGUGCCAUGAUUUCAGAUCUGAACUGUUUAUGUUAUCACCAUUAUAUCCAUGUUCUAGAUCCGAUCUUGCAAGUUAUAGUCACCUACUACGUGUUAUGACCCGGCAACCUCGGAGUGACAAUAGUCGGACCACUCCCGGUGAUAACCGUAGUUUGAGGAGUUCAUGUAUUCACCGUGUGUUAAUGCUUUGUUCUGGUUCUCUAUUAAAAGGAGGCCUUAAUAUCCCUUAGUUUCCAAUAGGACCCGCUGCCACGGGAGGGUAGGACAAAAGAUGUCAUGCAAGUUCUUUCCAUAAGCACGUCCACGGGAGGGUAGGACAAAAGAUGUUAUGCAAGUUCUUUCCAUAAGCACGUAUGACUAUUUACGGAAUACAUGCCUACAUUAUAUUUAUGAACUGGAGCUAGUGCCAUAUCGCCCUAGAUUAUAAUUGUCUCAUGAUGAAUAUCAUCCAACGAGUCACCGAUCCAAUGUCUACAAAUUUAUCAUAUAUUAUUCUUGCUAAGCUACUACUGUUGCUACUGCUAUCGUUACUACUACAAUGUCACUGUUAUCAUUGUUACUGUUACCGUUACUACUGCUACUAUCAUCAAAACUAUCAUAUUACUGUGCUACUAAUCAUUUUGCUGCAGAUAAUUAAUCUCCAGGUGUGGUUGAAUUGACAACUCAGCUGCUAAUACCUUCAAAUAUUCUUUGGCUCCCCUUGUGUCGAAUAUAUAAGUAUGGGUUGAAUACUCUACCCUCGAAAACUGUUGUGAUUCCCUAUACUUGCGGGUUAUCAAGACAUUUUUCUGGCGCCGUUGCCGGGGAGCACAACUAUAUUUGUUGAGUCACUUGGGAUUAUUAUCAUAUUAUUACUAUGAAGAAUUUGAAGGAUGCUAAGACUAAGAUUUUUCCCUCAAAGACGAGGGGAGUUAAGGAACUGCCAUCCAGUUCUGCUUUAGAUUCACCUUCUGUUAUAAGUAAACUUGCAACUCCACAACAUGCUAUUAAUUCUGAUAUGUCGCAAGUUAUUGAUGAUGUCACUUCUGCUAUGAAUGCUACUCAUGAUGAUGCCAGUACCUUGCUUGAUGAUGAUGUGCCACUAGGUGAAUUUCUUGAUGAACAAAUUGCUAGAGUAAGACAACAUGAUAUUGUUGAGUCCGAUGAUGAACUUGAAACUAAAAAUCUUGAAACACCUACUAGAACUAGUCCUCCUAGAUAUGAAUUGCCAAAGGUACCGGAAGGUUAUACUAUGAGUGAGGAGGCAACUAGAGAUAUUCUUGCUUGUAAGGAUAGAGAUGAUCUAAAGAAAUUAUUAUGCAAGUAUAAAGAAAGAUCUCUCAAUGCUAGAAUGAAAUGUGAUCCUGAGUUUGCUACUUCACCUAUUGUUAUUGCUGAUAAGGAUUAUGAAUUCUCUGUCGACCCAGAGUCAAUCAUUUUGGUUGAAUCGGAUCCUUUCCAUGGUUAUGAAAGUAAAACUGUUGUGGCACAUCUUACUAAGUUGAAUGAUAUAUCUACCAUUUUUGCUCAUGAUGAGAAUAUUCGCUAUUACUAUAUUCUCAAGUUAUUUCCGUUCUCAUUAAAGGGUGAUGCUAAAGCUUGGUACAAUACUCUUGCUCCUGGUUGUGUGCAUAGUCCCCAGGAUAUGAUCUAUUACUUAUCUGAAAAAUAUUUCCCCGCUCAUAAGAAACAAGCUGCCUUGCAGGAAAUAUUUAACUUUGUGCGAAUUGAAGAAGAGAGUCUCCCACAAGCUUGGGUGAGCCUUCUUCAAUUGCUUAAUGCUUUGCGUGACCACCCUCUUAAGAAAAAUGAAAUACUUGAUAUCUUCUAUAAUGGACUAACCGAUACUUCUAGGGACUUCCUAGAUAGUUGUGCUGGUUGUGUUUUCAGGGAACAAACUAUUGGACAAGCUGAGGAAUUAUUGAAUAACAUAUUGAAAAAUCAUGAUGAUUGGACUCCUCCUAAAACACCUAUUAAACCCACUCCGAAGAAGAGGGGUAUCUUAUAUCUCAGUCCUGAAGUUAUGCAAGAUGCAAAGAAUAUAUGAAGGAAAAAGGUAUUAAGGCCGAGGAUGUUUAAAAUUUACCACCUAUCAAAGAAAUACAUGGGCUUGAAGCACCACCACCACCCAAGGUGGUAGAGGUAAAAUCUUUAAUGAAUUUCAAUGAUAGUGAUGAUCCUCAUAAUAAACAUCCUAGUCAAUGCCUUUAUGAGUUUGAUAAUUACAUUAGAAAGCAAGAUCACUUCAAUGCAAAUGUUAUGAAACAACUGAAAUACAACUCUGAUAUGAUUGCUCGCUUAAGUCACUUGCUAUUUAGAAUCUCAAAUGAUGUUAGAGGUGUAGAAAAACAUGCCUCUAUGGUUCAAACUCACUAGAACAAGUUGCUAAAUCUCAAAGAGAGUUACUUGAUGAAAUGAACAAUAAUACAAGUGACUUUACUGUUAGAGUAGCAACUAGUGGAGGUAAAAUGACUCAGGAACCACUUUAUCCCGAGGGACACCCAAAGAGAAUUGAACAAGAUUCUCAAAGGAACAACACCACUACACCUAGUCCUUCUAAAAAGAAAAAGAAGAAGAAAAAUGGCAAGACUUUGCCUGCCUCUAGUGAACCUGAAGUAGAAAAAUCUCCUGGUAAUGAUAAUGAAGUUUCUAUCUCUGAUGAUGAAACUCAAUCUGGUAAUGAACACUCACCUUUUGAUAAUGAAAAAGAUAAUGAUGAGGUUCAUGAAAACACUCAACCUAAUGAUAAAGAACCAGAUAAUGAUGUUGAGAAUAACCAGCUAUUGAUCUUGAUAACCCACAACCUAAGAAUAAAAGAUAUGACAAAAGAGACUUUGUUGCUAGAAAACAUGGAAAGGAAAGAGAACAUUCAAAAUCCUAUGCCCAUUCCACCUAAGUCAACUAAAAAGAAAGAUAAUGAAGAAUUUGAACGCUUUGCCGAAAUGAUUUUCUGUGCACUCGCUUGACUAAUAUCUUGAAAAUGCCUCCUUAUGCAAAGUAUAUGAAAGACAUCAUCACCAAUAAGAGAAAAAUACCGGAAGCCAAAAUCUCCACUAUGCUUGCUAAUUACACUUUCAAAGAUGGAGUACCUAAAAAACUUGGAGAUCCGGGAAUGCCAACUAUACCUUGCUCCAUUAAAAGAAAUUAUGUGAAAACUGCUUUAUGUGAUUUGGGAGCUGGUGUUAGUGUUAUGCCUUUCUCUUUAUAUAAAAGACUUGAUUUGAAUAAACUCACACCUAUUGAAAUAUCCUUGCAAAUGACUGAUAAAUCAACUGCCAUACCUAUCGGUAUUUGUGAGGAUGUGCCCGUUGUUGUUGCUAAUGUUACUAUUUUUGACUGGCUUUGUUAUAUUGAGAUGCCCGAGGAUGAAAACAUGUUGAUUAUCCUUGGUAGACCCUUCUUGAAUACCGCAGGGGCUGUUAUUGGUCACUUUUCAUAUCAAUGGUAAUGAGCAUACAGUGCACUUUUCGAAGAAACAAUUCCAAGUGAAUGGUAUUAAUGAUAUUGAAAAAUCUCCGACAAUCACUAUUGGAAGUUUUCAACUACCUCUACCUACUAUCAAAAAGAAAUAUGAAAUGCUUAUUGUUGGGGACAUUCAUAUCACCAUUGAGGUAACUUAGUGAUUUACGGAAGUUCUUCGGUCUCAUGCUAAUCGAAAGUGGUUGUUAAUAAGACUUGAUCAACCUUAUUAAUGAAUCAUUUUUUAGAGGUAUGAAGUUGAUGAAUUUAGUAAGCACUACCUUCUGUCCCUACCUUUUGUUUUUCUGCUUUUAUUAGUUAAAUAAAAUAAAGUGCCAUGCUUUGUCCGUUUUCUGCUUUUCCCGUGCAAUAAAAAAAUGACCCAAAAAUAAAAGUUCUCAGAACGCUCUGAAAAUCUGAUACAAAUUUUUUCUGAAUAUUUAUGAAUUUCUGGUGCAAAUAAUAUCAGAGGGAGGUACACCAGGUGGGCACAACCCACUUGGGCACGCCAGGACUCCCAGGCGUGCCCUAGUGGGUGAUGCCCACCUGGUGGGCCCCCUCACUUACUUCUUCCUCCCACACCACUCCAUUCACACAGGAAAAAUCAGUACCUCUCUCUCUCUCUCUCUCUCUCUCUCGUGUUCUUGCUCCAGAAACUGCGGAUUUCGAUCUCUUUGCUCGAAGCUCCAUUUCCGAAAUUGUUUCGGGGAUUUGUUGCUUGGUAUGUGACUCCUCCACGUGUCCAAUUAAUUUUUGUUUUAGUGGUUUAUAUUUAGAAUAAUUAGUUACUCUUGGUGCUGCUGUAGAUGAGCUUGCAUGUUGAAUUCUUUGAGUUCUAAGUAGUUUGAAUGCUUGCUAUGGCCUCUAUACAUCCCUAUGAGUACUUGCUAUCAAUUUUGUGAAGUUUUGUUGAGAAUUUUUUUUGUGGACUAAAAAUUUCAGAAUUUUGUUCAUAGGAAAAAGAUGAAUAUCUUUAGGAAGUUUGCUUCCAAGAAGAACUCCAAGGGGGUUAUUGGGCAGUCAUCUGACAAUGAUCUUCAUACCCCGAGGUUGGCGGAGUUACGGCCGUGUGAGUGGUCGGACAAUGAGUUCAUGGGAGAGGCCGAAAUCCUCCAAGAGUUCAACCAAUAUGCUGCUAAUGCCGGCCUCACCGACUUCAUCGUAGCUGAAUGCGAACAGUAUCAUCUCCUCACAAAUUCCUUUGUGCAAAACUUCAUUUCAUCUAGGAAUAAUCCCCCUGAGGUGUCAUUUAACUUAUAUGCUGAACACCGUCAGACCCCACUUACUGAAUUUUGUGACAUAUGCAUGCUUUCUUCUGAUGGGGGUUUGGUAGAGCCUAGGCCCUCAAAGUUUGAUGGUUUUUACCGUACUCUGAUAGUGGGGGAUGAGAGGAGUUUUGAGCACCACUGUCACUAGCUUGCAGUUUCCUACCAUGCAUUACUUUGCUUUAUUUAUCGCAAAGUGCUUGCUAGCGAGAGAGGGUGGGUUCACUCAGCGCCCCAAAUUUUGCUGUUUUGCGUCGCACACUUUAUGGCGAUAACACUUUUAGCUUGGGAGCUAUUGUGGCACGUCGCCUUCACCUUAACAGAUUCAAGGGUAAAUACAUGGGGACAUUUAUGCUGCUUGUUUGGCGACUCACUUCAAUGUGCAGAUACGCCAGCAUGAUCACCCCUUGCCCAAGGUUUACUUAGACAGAGCAGCUAUGAAGGACCACCAGUUUCUUGCUGCUGAUUACCCUGAUAUUGACUUGCCUUACAAUUUAGUUUUUAGUGAGAUCACUCGUGAUGUCAUCCCCUUGCAUGCACCUGCUUUGUUUAACUAUGUUGUCAGGAACGGAUAUAGAGUUAUGCCUGAGGACAUAGUCGCUUACCGGAACAACCUGGCGGCGGCGCAGUCGGAGCCUCAGCAGUGGGACCCUAUGGUGCCUGCUCCCCAGCACUUCAACAUUGGACCUCACGGCUUCUACAACUGGUGAUUACCAAGUUAGGCCAAAAGCCUAAGCUUGGGGGAGUACGUAUUCCCAUCGAUAUUACAUUCAUGUUCACACAUCUAUCAUUCUUAAGAAGUUGCUCCCCACUUCUUCCUAUUCUCUCACCAUGCACACUAUCCACAUCAACGAUGUGCCACAUCAUUAUUCAGUUUCUAAAAGCAGCCAAUCAGUUUUUCCCUCGCCUGCAGCCACUCAUCCCCCAUCCCCCAUGGCCACUGGCCCUCCCUCCAGCUCUAUAACCAACCGGUUGAGCCCCUUUUCUUCCCAAAUGGAUCCCACGCAGCACUUGACCACAUCCAUCAACUAUUCCUCUCCCCACUUAGCCUUUAGUUAUGGAUUUUACCACACACAGCCCACUACUGAUUUCAAUCUGGUGGGUCCUACAUAAGAAAGCACUCUUCCCCUCCCAGUAAUCUUCCAUAUAUAUUAAUUUGGAGCGUACGUGCAAGGUUGCCUCUACAAUCCAAAAGUCAUGUAUCUCAGCGCCUGUUGUCUUUCCCCCUUCGCCCAUUCACAGUUUGUAAUGACGCGUCUGACUCCCCCUUCUGCUUUAUUCGGUACGCUGGAGAGAUGCACUAGAAACAACAUCAUAGCGUUGCAGAAGAAGAACACGGGGCUGCAGUGUGGGGCUGAGCUGCAACAGGAACAUCAGCGCCGUGCUGCUGUCUCCCAUGCCGCCAAGCGAUGUUGAGUCCGGAGAGCUGCCAUUUCUGUGGAGACGGUGGGAGUUGAAGAAGGCAGUGAUCCUUCAAACGAAUUGUGCGUGGCCGAGAUCGGACUGCAUGCAAGUUGAACGAAUUCAAAGCCGGGAACAUUUGACGUCGGAGCCGAGCGACAAGCAGGUUCUCCCAUCGCCUCCUGCUCCAGUAUCCUUUGACCGUAUCAUUUGCAUACUAUCUUUGUGAGCCUUUAGAUCUACGUGUCUGCAUGCAAGUAAAUUCUAUCCUGAAGUGAAGAGUACUCUUGCGAAUUGUUUUCUCCCUUUCUCCAUCUAGAUGACAUGCGUGCAGCUCAAAAAGAAGGCAUGCAUACUUACCUUUUCAUUUGAUUUAUUAUUGGGCUGACCUUUUGUCUAUCUCUGUCUGAAAUCCAGACCUUGUAUAUAUCAGGGGGUCAUUUUGUUGGUGUUUUAUUGCAGAAAUUUAGAGGUAUGUAACAGAUAAGAUAAGUUCAACUGAUUACUUGCCGAAUAGGUAACCAUUUUUUUGGCGAAAGAACCAUUAUUAUUUUUUAGUUGUAACAGACUAUCUGUCCCUCUGUUCAUUGUAUAAAUAUGUCUUUGAAUGCCCCCCAAAUACAUUAUUUAUAGUCUAUUCACAAACAAUAUUAUUUUCUGUCUUUUAUUAACCAUGCAAGUAGCAACUUCCCUUUCUUACAGAAACUGAAACACAAAGUUUGCUACCAAUGUUUUACAUUUUGCAGAUUAUGUUCAUUCUUUUUUGUCAGUUUAUGUAAUGAUCCGAAGAGCACCAUUCUUUUACCAUCCCUAAAAAAUACCAAAGUUCAUGUACAGGGAUGCACUUUUUGGGCACAAUUUACCUUAAUUAAUGAUCGGUGCACAGGUACAAUUCAUGCAAAUCCAUAUGAAAAAUCAUACUGUACAUGCUGAAUUGAUAGUAUUGUUAUCUCUAAUGUAAAAUUUGUGCCCCUCAGCAGUAGCUACAAUUAUAUCACCUUUAGAAAAGUACAUGAUAUUAUCUUUUUAUAUGAUAAAAUACAAUAUAUUAUCUGUUACACUUGAAAAUAUAAUUGUUGGGAUGGAUCUACUCAUGUAUGUUUUAUAUCCUUCCAAAAUUCCCGCGGCAACGCGCGGGGUAUUAUCUAGUUUCAUUCCAGUUGUCGGUGUCCACACUUUUUCAUUGUAUCAUCCAUGUUUAAUUUAUUUUCUCGCUUUCUUCUUGUGUGUUGGAAAAACUUUAAGAAAAUCCCAAAAAUAUGUAUCUUGCUUCUUUUUUAUUUUUCUUUCUAGUUCAAAUUAUUGUAGUACUAAAAAGAAAACCCAAAAGUUUUCCAUGUUCUUCUUUUACUUGUUGGAAGCUUUCCCGUGUAAAUAGUUUUUUUCGUUUUUGCUUUUUCCUUUUUGGUUUGCUUGCUUUCGAAAAACCAAAAACUCCAAAAAUAUUUCAGUGUGUUUCUCUGAAUUUCUUUAUCUUUUAUCGAGUCAUACCGAGGAGAAGACCACGAUGAAAAUGUUGAGUGGCUCCCAUUUGCAUUGUUGAUCUAACAAAGAGCUCAUAUUACCUUGUCUUCUCCUCUUGAAUAAAAUGUUUGCAGAUUCCAGCUUAGUCCAGAGCACUCUUGCACUAUUAUUAUUUUAAAUCGUUCGGUCGUGCAAGUGAAAGGCAAUAACGAUGAUAUUGGAUGAACUGGCCGUGGUAGAGAGAAACGGGUAUGAACUCGACUUGUUCUAUUUUUGUAAAUAUGUUUAACCUAGUAUCCAUGCUUCAACCUAUUAUGAUCAAACAUGUUUGCAAUGACAAUUAGAAAUUAUAGUUUCUCAUGCCAUGCAUAAGUAGUUAGGAGUGAAUAAUGACUUAUCUUGGACAUCAACAUUGCGUUAAAAUGAUUGUGAUGUAGUAUGAUGAUAUGGUAUCCUCCUCUGAAUGUUCAAGUGGCUUGACUUGGCACAUGUUCAUGCAUGUAGUUGAAUCAAAACCAACAUAACCUCUAUGAUAUUUAUGUUCAUGAUGUUCAUAUCCUACUCAUGCUAGUAUCCAAUGUUACUUAUGCAUAAUGCAUAUUCAUGACCGUUGUUGCUCUCUAGCUGGCCGCUUCUCAACCUAUUUGCUAGCCUUAGCCUGUACUAAGUGAGAACUCUGCUUGUACAUUAAAAACCUGAAACCCAAGUUAUUCCAGAUGAGUCCAUCAUACCUACCUAUAUGCGGUAUUACCCUGCCGUCCUAAGUAAAUUUGUAUGUGCCACGACAGCAGGUAGUCGGUAUCUUCCAUCCUAAGCGGGUUAUUCUCAGGUCGAGUGUUUAUUCACUUGCCAUCGCACGAGAAAAGGGCGGUAAUAGGGAUGCCCAGUCCCAAACUGAAAAAAGAAAAGAUCUUACAAAUAAUCAAACAAAAACUCCCAAUGGAGUCAUAACCUUUACAUUUCCGCUUGGGAACCGCUACUAGCAUGCUUAGCAUGGAAGAUAUUGAUAACUGAUGGUCAUGAAGUGAAUGAGAAGGGUGCAUGUCUCAAAAUAUCAUUUACCUCUAUCUUAAAAACUUGAGCUUUGGCACCUCUGCAAAUCACUGCUUCCCUCUGCGAAGAGACUAUCUAUUUACUUUUAUGUUGUGUCAUCACCUUCUCAAAUAAGCGCCAGAACCUGAGAGCACUGCUGUCAUGCUGAUGCAUUGUGUAUAGCUAAUGUUGGAUGCAUCAUGACUGGAUCUUUUCUACCAUGAAUUACAAUGUUUAUUCGCUGCUUGAACCUUGGGGGUGCUCUGCAUUUAUGUUUUGCGGUCUCAGAAAGGGCUAGCGAGAUACCAUUAUUGUCAUAUUAUAUCAUGGUUGUUUUGACAACAUGUUGCUUUUGAGAUAUCUUAUUAUUGCUCUCUAGUUGUUUAUGUCAUUGAUAUGAGUUAAUAUAAUUUUAAGAGUUAUUGUCAACAUGGUUAGAUAUAAUCCUUGCUGAAAACCUGGGUGCUAUUCAAGCUUAUUUAUGAAACAAGAGCAAAAGAGUUCAUAAAAGUUUCUCUUUUUCACUUUCAGUUUAUCAACUGAAUUGCUUGAGGACAAGCAAGGUUUAAACUUGGGGGAGUUGAUACGUCUCCAACGUAUCUAUUUUUCCUAACGCUUUUCCUCUUGUUUUGGACUCUAAUUUGCAUGGUUUGAAUGAAACUAACCCCGGACUGAUGUUGUUUUCAGCAGAACUGUGUUGUUUUUUGCAGAAAUAAAAAUUCUCGGAAUUGAACGAAACUUUGCGAGGAUUUUUUAUAUCAAAUAAGAGAAUUUCUGGAUCCAGGAGGUACCUGAGGAGGGCACCUAGGUGGGCACAACCCCCCAGAGCGCGCCAGCCCCCCCAAACGCGCCCUGGUGGAUGCUGCCCACCUGGUGGCCCCGCUGACCCUCAAACCGACGCUAUAAAAUCCCAUAUUUCCAAAAAAAAAUCAAGCAGGAAGAAUUAUCGUGUUUCACGAGACGGAGCUGCCGCCUUCUCCUGUUCUUCAUUGGGAGGCCAGAUCUGGAGUCCGUUUGGGGCUCUGGAGAGGGGGAUCUUCGAUCUUCGUCAUCACCAACACAUCUCCAUCGCCAAUUCCAUGAUGCUCCCCACCGGGAGUGAGUAAUUCCUUCGUAGGCUCGCUGGCCGGUGAGGAGUUGAAUGGGAUUCAUCAUGUAAUCGAGUUAGUUUUGUUAGGGCUUGAUCCCUAGUAUCCAUUAUGUUUUGAGAUUGAUGUUGCUAUGACUUUGCCAUGCUUAAUGCUUGUCACUUUGCCCGGCUGCCAUGAUUUCAGAUCCGAACUGUUUAUGUUAUCACCAUUAUAUCCAUGUUCUAGAUCCAAUCUUGCAAGUUAUAGUCACCUACUACAUGUUAUAAUCCGGCAACCCCGGAGUGACAAUAGCCGGGACCACUCCCGAUGAUGGCCGUAGUUUGAGGACUUCAUGUAUUCACCUUGUGUUAAUGCUUUGUUCCGGUCCUCUAUUAAAAGAGGCCUUAAUAUCCCUUAGUUUCCAAUAGGACCCUGCUGCAACGGGAGGGUAGGACAAAAAAUAUCAUGCAAGUUCUUUUCAUAAGCACAUAUGACUAUUUACGGAAUACAUGCCUAUAUUAUAUUUAUGAACUGAAGCUAGUGCCAUAUCGCCCUAGAUUAUAAUUGUCUCAUGAUGAAUAUCAUCCAACGAGUCACUGAUCCAAUGCCUACGAAUUUAUCAUAUAUUAUUCUUGCUAAGCUACUACUGUUGCUACUGCUAUCGUUACUACUACAAUAUCACUGUUAUCAUUGUUACUGUUACCGUUACUACUGCUGCUAUCAUCAAAACUAUCAUAUUACUGUGCUACUAAUCAUUUUGCUGCAGAUAAUUAAUCUCCAGGUGUGGUUGAAUUGACAACUCAGCUGCUAAUACCUUCAAAUAUUCUUUGGCUCCCCUUGUGUCGAAUUUAUAAAUUUGGGUUGAAUACUUUACCCUCGAAAACUGUUGCGAUCCCCUAUACUUGUGGGUUAUCAACCUUAGAGUCCUCAAGCAUCUCUAGCUUAUAUGACACUACGUCGAUAGCUUGUAGAAUCUUGAAUGGACCGAAGUAUUUGAAGGAGAGCUUGUGAUUAGCUCGUCGCUCCACGGAAGUUUAAACAUAGACGAAGAUGAAAUCCCUUGGUUGGAAUGUUUUGUCUGUGCGGCGCUUGUGUGUCUAUACUUUCAUGAUGUGCCGAGCUAGAUGGAGGUGUUGCUUCAAAACUUGAUACAUGAAUUUGCGCUCUUCAAGCCAUUAUUUCAAAGUAGGAAUCUUGCAAGUUGACGUUGCCUCAAUAACCCAGUGUCACAGUUAAUGCCCAUAGAGUGCCAUUAAAGGCAAGGAUUUCAAAGUUGAGUUGUAGCUGGGAUUGUGAAAGAAUUCCACCAAUGAAAGGUAUUGGCUCUAGCAACUUGGACACACGUGAAUGAACCAACGCAAGUAAAUUUCCAAGCACUAGUUCAUGUGUUAUGUCUGGUCAUCCGUCUGUGGAUGACAUGGUGUGCUCAUCUUCAAUUCCAUGCCAAUUCUGCGAAAUUGCGCCUUCCAGAAUUUCUCGUGAAUACAGGUCCCGGUCUAAAUUUAUUGCUUCUAGAAGGCCAUGUAAUUUGUAUGCAUUUUCAAGGUAAUAAUGAGAAAUCUGUUGGGGAACGUAGCAGAAAUUCAAAAAUUUUCCUACGUAUCACCAAGAUCUAUCUAUGGAGAGACCAGCAACGAGUAGAAAGGAGAGUGCAUCUACAUACCCUUGUAGAUCGCUAAGCGGAAGCGUUCAAGUGAACGGGGUUGAUGGAGUCGUACUCGUCGUGAUUCAAAUCACCGAUGAUCAAGUGCUGAACGGACAGCACCUCCGCGUUCAACACACGUACAGCUCGACGAUGUCUCCCACGCCUUGAUCCAGCAAGGAGAGAGGGAGAGGUUGAGGAAGACUCCAUCCAGCAGCAGCACAACGGCGUGGUGGUGAUGGAGGAGCGUGGCAAUCCUGCAGGGCUUCGCCAAGCACCUACGGGAGAGGAGGAGGUGUCACGGGAGGGAGGGAGGCGCCAAGGGCUCAGGUGUGGAUGCCCUCCCUCCCCGCCACUAUAUAUAGGGGCAGGGGAGAGGGGGGAGGCGCAGCCUUGCCCCUUCCUCCAAGGAAGGGGUGCGGCUAAGAAGGGGGGAGGAGUCCAUCCUCCCCAAGGCACCUCGGAGGUGCCUUCCCCCUUUAGGACUCUCCCCUUUUUCCUAUAUCUUGGCGCAUGGGCCUCUAGGGGCUGGUGCCCUUGGCCCAUGUAGGCCAAGAUGCACCCCCUACAGCCCAUGUGGCCCCCGGGGCAGGUGGCCCCACCCGGUGGGCCCCCGGGACCCUUCCGGUGGUCCCGGUACAAUACCGAUGACCCCGAAACUUGUCCCGAUGGCCGAAACAGGACUUCCUAUAUAUAAAUCUUUACCUCCGGACCAUUCCGGAACUCCUCGUGACGUCCGGGAUCUCAUCCGGGACUCUGAACAACAUUCGGUAACCACAUACAAGCUUCCUUUAUAACCCUAGCGUCAUCGAACCUUAAGUGUGUAGACCCUACGGGUUCGGGAGACAUGCAGACAUGACCGAGACGUUCUCCGGUCAAUAACCAACAGCGGGAUCUGGAUACCCAUGUUGGCUCCCACAUGUUCCACGAUGAUCUCAUCGGAUGAACCACGAUGUCAAGGACUCAAUCGAUCCCGUAUACAAUUCCCUUUGUCUAGCGGUAUUUUACUUGCCCGAGAUUCGAUCGUCGGUAUACCGAUACCUUGUUCAAUCUCGUUACCGGCAAGUCACUUUACUCGUUCCGUAACACAUCAUCUCGUGAUCAACUCCUUGGUCACAUUGCGCAUAUGAUGAUGUUCUACCGAGUGGGCCCAGAGAUACCUCUCCGUUUACACGGAGUGACAAAUCCCAGUCUCGAUCCGCAUAAAACAAUAGAUACUUUCGGAGAUACCUGUAGUGCACCUUUAUAGUCACCCAGUUACGUUGUGACGUUUGAUACACCCAAAGCACUCCUACGGUAUCCAGGAGUUACACGAUCUCAUGGUCAAAGGAAGAGAUACUUGACAUUGGCAAAGCUCUAGCAAAUGAACUACACGAUCUUUUGUGCUAGUUUUAGGAUUGGGUCUUGUCCAUCACAUCAUUCUCCUAAUGAUGUGAUCCCGUUAUCAACGACAUCCAAUGUCCAUAGCCAGGAAACCAUGACUAUCUGUUGAUCACAACGAGCUAGUCAACUAGAGGCUCACUAGGGACAUAUUUUGGUCUAUGUAUUCACACGUGUAUUACGAUUUCCGGAUAAUACAGUUAUAGCAUGAAUAAAAGACAAUUAUCAUGAACAAGGAAAUAUAAUAAUAAUACUUUUAUUAUUGCCUCUAGGGCAUAUUUCCAACAAAAUCUUGGCAGUCGUGAAUGGGUGAUUAUAUGUGAAUUUAUCCACUACCACGAGAAUGCAAUUUGACUUGCUUGAUUGUGGCAAUCCAUCAAUGAACUCCAUGGUUACGACUUGCUAGGAUCAUUCUGGUAACGGUUGCAGCUCGAGAUGACCUAGUACUUUAGGCAUUCAGGUUUGGACUAUCUAUGAAUUUGCCGUUUCAUCUUGGACCAAGCAAAUAGUCAAUGGAGGCAUCGAUAUGUAAUUGGGAUGUCAUAAUGACUUCCGACUGAACUAUCAUGGAACGCACGAGGCUUACAUUGUUGUAGCUCUAGAGCUCGACCAAGCCAAAGUAUGUUUCGAAAAUACAACAGUUCAUUUGAGAGGGAGAAUCGUUGCAUCAAGUCUAGUUGAACUGCAAGACUAGCAAGGAUCCUCUGAACUUGAGCAUUACUGGCAUAACUGGACAUAGUGUCAUCAAGCCAUGGAGGCUGGUAGGCGGAAAUUGUUGUUAGUCGACGGUCUGAAUGCAGUCGUCAGGAUAGAGCAUGUCCUUUUGGUAGCAAGUGGCAUUCUCGACACUGGUUGACAUUGCAGCCACAACCGUGCAUCACAGGUUCCCGAUAGAGCGUGCUACGUGUUCGAAGUAAAAGACCAAGAGAGAUUCAAGAACAACAAAUGAAUCAGGUGUCCAUCUUUAUUGAUGAUCACAUUUAUAUGUAGGCCAUGUUUGCAUUGAGCGGGAGAUCCACUAUUGGUUACCAUGUUUGGAGCCUUCAUAUACUCAUAUAUGUUGUAUCUGAAUUCGCUAAAAUUACACAAUGUAAGGUGUACUUUUUCUAAUCUUUAUAAUUCAUUUUUUACCCCUCCACCGCACACGAUAUAAGAAAACAUUAUCUAGAGAAAACUUGUACAAGCCAAACUCAUGCAUGAAUCGUAGUUAGGAAAACGAAAUCUCCAGCCAUUAGUUAGAAAAAACAUGCUAGUCAAUCUUCCAAUAGUUAGUUAGGGAAUCCUCAACGUGCACCAUCAAAACACCCGCAUAUGUCUGAACCACGUGGUCUGGACAAUGAAAGCCAUUCAACCUGGGUCUGUAUCGGUCCGCCGGAUAGUUUGGAUGCAUAUUUUUUCGCAAAUCAGAGACAAAGUGGGGGUUUUGCGAGCGUUUGGAUAGCUGCCACGCAUGCGUCUGACCACCCUGACCCACCCGAAACACCCAUCUGCGCCCGGGCACGUUCUCACCAGGCGCUAGCUGCCUGCAUUUAUGCCGCGGGAGAGUGGCCGCUCCGCAUUAACGCCGGCACGGGACGGAUGCGACCUCUCAAUGCCGACAUUUAAGUGCCCGACAGCAAAGAGAGCACCGCCCGCUGUGCACCCGACAGAACACGUCUCUCACUGCGUUCAAACGGCCACAGACUGUCCUCCUUCCUCCAUAAAACCCGCGCGUGUGCCGAGAAACCUACUCCGGCCACACGUUCGUUCGUGAGCCGUCAGACAUUAAACACAACGUCGGUUGGCUCCGACCAUCCGCCCUCUAUUUAAAUGGUGCCAGACGCUAGGCGAAAAUCGCACCACACUCCGCUCCCAUCUCCUCCUUGCACCAUUUUCUUCACAAUCUCCAUGGCAUCCAGUGAGCAGUAAGAGGGGUUCUCCGACAUAAAAGCCGGCCGGGUAGCCCACCAAGCCCGCCUGAUAUGAGCUAGGCAACUCGCUACUCCACCUCCGUCGCCGCCCCAGGCCGUCAGUACCAUGGGCGAGGUUGUAGGCGGACAAAAUUAUACCUCCAGAGUUGAACGAGCUCCACUUUUAGUUGAAGUAUGUCCGAAAUGUAAUGAAUCUCGCCAGGUUUAUAUGAAAUACACCGCGUUUGCAUGAAUUUCGUCUGGUUAGUUCAAGCAAUGGUUGAAAUGUAUGCAGGGAGCAUUGGAUGGCGGCCUCCGGCAUCAAUGUCCAAAUUGGACCCCCACCCCCCCCGCGUCCACGGACAGAUGCCGGAGCAAAUUUAUGGGUCAGCGUUGGAGAUGCCCUUAGGGAAAAUACAUGCGUUGCUAAUAUUUAGGGAUAUGUGGUGUGCACCAUCGAAUUAGUCAAGGGUAGUUUCAUCAUAAAUCUUAUAUACCUAAGAGAGUGAUCUCCACUACUUUAUUUAUCUCAACAUGCAGUCCACAUGAGACCAUGCCAUAUAAGCAAAAACUAAUUUCACUUACAACCAUGUCAUGACUAAACCCUACCGAUGUCGCCGCAUGGUUCACACAAAGAAAACAACGCAUCAUAGUUCCUUUGUUUUUUCCUAUGGAAUUAAACUGAUAACCUGGGCUGCGCGUUCUACCCAUCGGGUUUUAAGCCAACAACAUGGGUGUAAGAAGCUACUAAAUUUUUUACACGUAGGCUGCCUAGGCUGAUAGUGCCAGUAGCUGGAUUGAUUAUUCCUAGUAGCCCACGUUGCUAGCGUAGGCCUAACUUUUUUUUGAAAGACCCGGCUGAUCACCGGCUUCAUUGAUUUAGCAGAAAGCAGUGGAAACAUGUAGAUCAAGUGAUCAAGUGGAUGAAAUUAGAAAAGUACAGGUGGCUCUCCUCUCUUAUGGCUAUUUUUCACUAAUUGUGUCCCCGAAGGAAGGCUCCAUGCAUUUGGCUCCUGCCAAUCUCCAUUGCUCGAUAUUGCUCCUAAUUGCUGCGACGACAUCUUUCACCCGAGGCGUUUUUCCUCGGAAGACGCAGUGGUUUCUUUCCUUCCAUAAUUCCCACGCGAUCAUGAUGAUCAGAGAUCUGACUCCGCGCCUGUUAGCAGGAAUAGUCUUGUUGAUGAGAAGAUGGCAAGACUGGGCCGGGCUGAGCAGAGGUCUCGCUCAUGUCGCUAGCGAGGAACAACCAAACCAGCUGGUGCAUUUCCCCCAGACCUGCUACGAGAAACUGCAGCCCCAUAUUAGAUGUGUAGAUAUUUCCAAAUUCCUGAUGCACAGGGGGUGGAAGUAGCCGUUGGGCCAGCCUCUUCUCUGCAAUCUAUCGUUGCACAAGAGGCGGUCCCUGACGAGGAGCCACAUGAACAUUUUGAGCUUGUUGGGAGCCCAGACCUUCCAAAUGAGGCUGUUGAAAUUUGUGUUGGGGGCUGCAGGAAUUGCAUCUGGUAAGCCGACUUAUUUCAUCUUCAUGCUACCCUCUUCUCUUUUUCUCGAGACGGUUCCCUCACAACCCUUUCGUCCCCUCAAGUACUCCUCCGUUGAUUGAUUUCUAUCAUUCUCCUUAUCUUCUCCACCAUACCUCCUUCAAUUGCUCUCAUCUAUCCCACUAUUUUGCAAAAGAGACCGCUGGAUUUCUGAUUCUUAUCUUCAGCUUCUCCACUAAACAAAUGUGUUGCUUCAAAUCCCAUCAUCUACACCAAAGCUUCGUAUCUGUGCCCCUUACUGCCCCCAUGGGUUUACAACCGACGUGCUGGACAUGCAAAAUUUGUAGGAGGCGUCAACACCAACCUCCCGAACACUGGUGAAGCGCUUGAUGGCCCGCGGGUAGUGCUGGUCUGCGACCCCGGCUCCGGCAAGAGUAGACUUAUCAUCUUCCUCGCCUGCGAGGCCCUGCCGCCCCACGGCGUACCGCAUACCUGCGUCUCCAAGGAUAUCUCUUCCCAAAAUAUGCUCCCCCAAUCCAUUCUGCUUCUUUAGUUUGAUUGUGUUUCAAAGUACGCAUUUUGUUACAGCUUUGAGUUUGAAUUUUGCAGCACACGACGGAGAUGAUUACUGAAUGCUAGGCGACGACCACGAUGGUGUUGAGAAGCCCCUAGAACGACUCAACUCCUUCUUGUUCCCCAAGUUCGGGUGCUCCACAUGAUGUUGCCUAUCAACCUCUAAUGCUCGGGUUGGUACCGCUCGCCUAAAUCGUCCAUCAUCAAUGAUUUUGCUUUCUGAGAUUGAGUUCUUUGAGCUACAUGCCCAUUCCUCAAGACCUUGAGCCAAUUGACUGCUGGAUGGUAAUAACAAAACCACUAUAUCCAGCAACGUUUUCGCUCUAAGGUUUCACCACUUGUAUGAAAGUGACCCCUGGGUAAACCGGUACAGGGCACGUGUAUUUUUUUUGGUAAAUGACCAUGUAGAAUUACACGGUGGUUGUAGAUUGUCGAUCAAAAUUUUCUUAACCUGUGUACCGAUUGGACUGUGCGCUUAGCGAAUUCAGUUGCAUGUGGGCCAACAUGGCCCGUUGACUUCGCCGCCUGAGAUUUCUUCGGUGGAUUCGUACAUGUGUAGGCUUCCUUCUCUUUCUGGGCUUUUUCCUUAGGGUUGACGUGUGGUGGCGUGCGUUAGCGUUUUUUGUGCCGCUUACCAGUCUCCCUUCGAUCUGUAAUCUAGAGGCUGCCGCUGCUUCUGAUCGGUGCCGCUUCCAUCGUUCCAUCUAGAGACGUCGUUUACGUCUUCGUUUUCGUUCGAUCCACCGCCGUACUGUUCCUAUAUAAGGGCUCAAUCUCUGCCCCGAUUUCUCCUCCUCAUUGCAACAACCAUGCAUCGUUUCCCGCGGUGGAGGGCGAUGACGAGAGUAACUGUGGCAGAGAUGGGAUGCGACUAAUUCUGCUCGCCGAUCUCGCUGGGAGGCGUCUGGUGCAGCAACAGGACGUGGAUCUCCUGCGGUGCGUCCGUGCAUGCAGCGAGCCGUAGGUGGGCAUGGAGCUUCGGAGCUCCCUGUCCGUUCUCAUGGGGCCAGCCAGACACGGUGGACAUGGUGGCAACAGCUAGCAGUAGCGAACUAGCGUCCGCCAGUUCAGUUGCGGCGAUUCAGCUGCAUGGUAGCAUUACCGGCGGGAGCGGCAGGGUGAAGGAGCGGACGUGCAGGCGUUGCGGCUGUACAAGGACUCAAACAGCGCCGGCGAAAGCGGUGGUGGCAUUCUGGUGCACGUCUGGGCGACUGACCUCCGCGGCGUUGCACGAGAUUCCAUCGACUACCCGGCUUCUAAGGCACGUACGCGGCUCCCAGCGCGGAGGACGUGAAGGUUCUUGGCUCGACGGUUCUCCUCUGCGCGCUGCGACAUCGGAUGCCUGCAUCCUGCUCGUUCUCUUGAUUCUAUGGUGCCUAGGCUAGUAUUUUCUAUAUAUAACAUUUUUCUGUCAAUUAGAUUAACUAAAUUGGGUUCCGUUAUUCUUCUAGGUAUAUGUUCCCUGAACUGUAGAAUUAGCAGUUCAAUUGCCCAUUUGAUGAUUCUUCUACACUAUAUGUUCCCUGCACGACCAUUCUAAUAGGCAUCAAUCAUUUUAGGUUGGACCUUUCUUGAUUGAUGUGGCUCCUUUUAAUUUUAGCUCUUCUACUUUCACCUUUGUUGAAAAUACUGAGGGUUCUCAAUUUUUUUUUUCAGGAAUAUACUCCUGAAUGUUAUUGAGUGGCAUUUUCUCCAUGUAGUGCUUUUAUCAUCGCGCCAAAAAAUAAUACACCUUAUAAAAAAAUGAAAAUCCUAGACCUACGGGUCUAUAUAACUCUUAAGUGACGCGUAAGUUUUCUUUUCUUAAUAAUUUCUCCCCCUGAAUUUCAAGGUGGGGUCAAUCCCCCAAUUAAUGAUAGUCAUCCAAAUCAGCCGCUACGUAACAUACAUAGAAAACAUCGUGUAGAUGUAGCAUUGCUCUAUAUAGAAGCUGUUGGAGUACAAUAAUCCUAUAUCCACGUAGAGCUACAAAAGGUUUUACAUAAUCUUCCUAAAUAGUUUUCUGCCUCCUUGAAUUUCAGGUGGGUGGGGCCCUUCCUCCUCCUUCUCCAAUUAUGAUUUUUUCUUUCAGGGAAAAAAAUUCCAUUACUCAAGGAGGCAUCUCAGCCAUAACCAAGUUUACAAGAAAGUCCGGCCCUCCUGCGAACUAGACUGCAGUACGGGAGGUACUACGGCCAUACGCAGCCAACACAUGACUAGUGUUGUUCUGCCAAUGGCUACAUUGCGCAAAUACAACCUCUCUAGCCUCAAGGACUGCUAGACUGCUAAUCUCUUCAACGAGAGACCGGUGCUGCGAUCUAUCUGUCGUGGGUGCCUUGAGCAUCGCCACAGCCUCCGCACUAUCCAUCUCAACAAUGAUAGGCAUCGUCGUCCUGUGUAAGGCAAGGUCUAGGCCUUCUCUACACGCCGAGAGCUCCGCCUCCAGCGCACUCUCACAUGUGCGGAUUUCUCUGCAUGCACUAUAUAUGAUAUCCCCUCUAUCAUCUCGAAGGAUCAUGCCUCCUCCCGCUGCUCCUGUGGCUGCAACAAAGUUGCCGUCUGUGUUAAGUUUGGCCCAGCCCGCACUAGGGGGGGCCCAGCUCGGCCGUGCCGUCGCUAUCCUGCAGGGCUGCACGCGCGGCAGGCCAUCGCAAACCACCAUCUUCCCCUUCUCCAUAUUGGCAUGUGGAUGUUGCUGGAUGCAUAAUAGUGAAGUAAUGUAGCCAUGUAAGAAUCUACAAGAGGCCUCAGCAGGAGGUGGCAGUUUGUCAUGGGUAAUCUCAUUGCGAACAUGCCAUACUCUCCACAUGAUCAUGAGGACCACCAGCCUCGCCGUCUCAUCCAGGGGUUCCAACAGGGCGAAUAGCCACUCUGGCCCCGUGUCCCGGAUGGUCUCCACCUUGGGUAUGUUCCAGUCCAUCGCCAUGACCCUUCAUAGCUCCUUUGCCAGUGGGCACCUGCAAAGCGCGUGGAAUUCGUCCUCGCGUUCAACACCACAUAGGAGGCAUACGUCAGUAUCCUCGAGGUGCCGUGAAGCCUUGUUGGUCCAAGUAGCAGUGAAUUUGUGAUAACCCUCCAUGCAAACACACGUACCUUAGGGGGAGCAGGGCACCCCCAUAUGAUCUUCCAGAUGGCGCGACGACCAUCCGAUGCCCUGCUCAUGGCGGUGGCCAAUGGACGCUCGCGCUCGUCCAUUGCCAGGCGGUACGCGGAUCGGACGAUGAAGAUGUCGUUCUUCUCCGGUGCCCAGGCGAUGAUAUCAUCGGUGACGCGUGGCGAGGUCUGGAUGCUAGUGAUGACGACGACAUCCGCCGGAAGGAAGUAGCGCUGUAGUAGACUGGUGCGCCAAGAGCCCUCGUCGUCGAGGAGCUCGGCCACCCUCCGCAGGCGGCAAGUGCCCUGCUGAGUGAUGGGCUGACGCGAGGGCUCCCGUGGCAACCAUCGGUCCCACCAUAUGCAAAUCUGCUGACCGUUCCCAACACGCCAUAUGAUGCCCUUUUUCAGGAGCUCGAGGCCAUGUUGGAUAGCCUGCCAGGUCAGGGAGGAGUUCCCCAAGAACACCGUGUCCUCAAGGCGUCCAUCAUGAUAGUAUCGGGCCUUUAACACCUGCGCACACAAACUGGUGGGUUUAGUAAGCAAACGCCAUGCCUGCCUCGCUAGGAGAGCCUGGUUAAAAAGGCGGAAAUCUCUGAACCACAGACCACCCUUGCUUUUCUGAGCCUGGAUCUUUGGCCAAGCAAGCCAGUGUGUCUUCCUCUUGCCCUCAGAGGUGCCCCACCAGAAGUUGCGAACCAUUCUAUUCAGGUCAUCAAAAACUGACAUAGGAAGCUUAAAAACACCCAUAAUAUAAGUGGGAAUAGCUUGGGCAAUUGCCUUUAUCAUGGUUUCCUUGCUGGCGAGAGAGAGGGUGUCACCCCAAGCAAUAAUCCUCUUCAAUAACCGAGAUUGCAGAUUCUGAAAUUUACCUCGUGACAUGCGUCCUUCGGGUGUUGGAAGCCCUAGAUAUUUCUCCUCAAACGUGACAGUACCUAUGUUUAAUGUAGUUCUCACCGCCUCCUGUUUGUCCAGAGCACAAGCUGUACCAAAGAGAGCACUACAUUUGGCCAGAUUAAUAAAUUGUCUGGUGGCAUUAGCAUAUGUGUUUAGCACUUCCUGGACCUUUUGGGCUUCUUCCUCCUCUGCUUUAAAAAACAGUAAUGUAUCAUCUGCAAACAGAAGAUGAGACACCCAUGGAGCUCUGCGGCACACUUUUAGCGGGGUAAAGUCACCUUUUUCUUCUCCUUCUUUCAAGAGAGCAGAUAGACCAUCAGCCACAAACAGGAAUAAAAACGGGGACAAAGGAUCACCUUGCCGUAACCCACGUGACGGUGCGAACGAUUCCAGAAGGGUUCCAUUGAAUUUAACUGUAUAUCUCAUCGAGGUGACGCAAGCCAUAAUCCAGUCCACCCACCGGCGAGCGAAACCCAUCUUUUUCAUCAUUCGCUCCAAGAAGAUCCAGUCCACUCUAUCGUAUGCUUUGGAGAGGUCCAGUUUAUAUGCGCAGAAACUUUUAUUUGGGUCUUUCUCCUGCUGAAUAAAAUGAAAGCACUCAAAUGCAAUCAAAGCAUUAUCAGUGAUCAUACGUUCAGGGACAAAGGCGCUCUGCUCAGGGGAGAUAAUAUCAUCCAAUAUAGGCCUCAAAUGGUUUACCAGACAUUUUGCCACCACCUUGUAGAUGACGUUACAUAAGCUGAUUGGGCGGAACUCCGUGAGCCUCUCUGGGUUAUCCACCUUCGGGAUGAGAACAAUCGACGUGUUGUUCACCCCCUCAGGCAUCAUCCAUGUCCAAAAGAAUUGCUUGACCCCUGCAAUUACAUGUUCUCUCAUCACGUCCCAAUUACGUUGGAAGAAGCGCGCGGGGAAGCCAUCCGGACCCGGCGCCUUUAGCGGUCCAAUCUGAAACAGAGCAUCGGCAAUUUCCUUGUCUGAAAACUUUGCACACAGUCCAUCAUUCAUGCGGUCAGAUACACGGGGUUUAAUAAGAUCAAUUACUGGAUCCACACAAAGAGAGGGGUCAGCAGUAAAUAGUUUGGCAAAAUAAGAAGUGGCCAUGGCCGCCAUGGGCGCAUGGUCCUGAUGUGUGACUCCAUCAUCAUCAAUGAGAGAUUUAAUACGGUUUUUGCGUGUGCACCAAACUGCCUUUCGAUGGAAGAACUGGGUGUUGCGGUUCCCUUCCCGUAGCCAUGCAAUGCGGGAUCUCUGCAUCCACAACAUCUCCUCCCUAUAGAGCAGUUCGUUCAUCUUGUCUGUCGCCUCCCGUAUGUCCUCUCUAUCUGCAUUCAUAGACAUAAGCUCCUCGAGAUGAGAGCGGGAUUUGUUAAUUUCCCGAAUGACAUUUCAAACUUUUUUCGGCUCCACUCUUGCAGUUUUUUCAUCAUAUUUCCUAGUCCAGAAGCUACAUCACCAAGAUUCAACAUAUAGCCCGACUCAGUCCAAGUGUUCAUAAUUACCUCAGGGAGGGAGGGGUCACGUUUCCACAUAACCUCGUACUGUCUGCACCUUUUGCCCUCUUGUUGGCGCGGCUCCUCUAGCGCGCACUUGAGGAGGAUGGCCAAAUGAUCGGAGCUUGGCGCCACCAAAUGCUCCACCCUUGCUGUUGGGGAACGUUGCAGAAAACAAAAUUUUCCUACUCGUUUCACCAAGAUCAUCUAGGAGUUCAUCUAGCAACGAGUGAUUAGAUGCAUCUACAUACCUUUGUAGAUCGCGCACGGAAGCGUUCAAAAGAACGGUGAUGAUGUAGUCGUACUCGACGUGAUCCAAAUCACCGAUGACCAGCGCCGAACGGACGGCACCUCCGCGUUCAACACACGUACGGGACGGGAGACGUCUCCUCCUUCUUGAUCCAGCAAGGGGGAAGGAGAGGUUGAUGAAGAUCCAGCAGCACGACGGCGUGGUGGUGGAUGCAGGGCGUCACAGCAGCAGGGCUUCGCCGAGACUACGAGGGAGAGACGUAACAGGGGGAGGUGGAGGCGCCAGGGGCUGGUCUAAAAUCCCUCCUCUCCCCCCCACUAUAUAUAGGGGUGCCAGGGGGGGCGCCGGCCCUAGUAGAUGGCAUCUACUAGGGGGGGCGGCGGCCAAGGGGAGGUUUCCCUCCCCCCCAAGGCACCUAGGGGUGCCUUCCACCACAUGGACUCUUCCAUGGUGGAAACCCUAGGCGCAUGGGCCUAUAGGGGCUGGUGCCCUUGGCCCAUCUAGGCCAAGGCGCACCCCCUACAGCCCAUGUGGCCCCCCGGGACAGGUGGCCCCACCCGGUGGACCCCCGGGACCCUUCCGGUGGUCCCGGUACAAUACCGAUAACCACGAAACUUGUCCCGAUGCCCGAAAUAGCACUUCCUAUAUAUAAUUCUUUACCUCCGGACCAUUCCGGAACUCCUCGUGACGUCCGGGAUCUCAUCCAGGACUCCGAACAACAUUCGGAUUUCUGCAUAUACAUAUCUUCGUAACCCUAGCGUCACCGAACCUUAAGUGUGUAGACCCUACGGGUUCGGGAGACAAGCAGACAUGACCGAGACGACUCUCCGGUCAAUAACCAACAGCGGGAUCUGGAUACCCAUGUUGGCUCCCACAUGCUCCACGAUGAUCUCAUCGGAUGAACCACGAUGUCGAGGAUUUAAUCAAUCCCGUACGCUAUUCCCUUUGUCUAUCGAUAUGUUACUUGCCCGAGAUUCGAUCGUCGGUAUCCCAAUACCUCGUUCAAUCUCAUUACCGGCAAGUCACUUUACUCGUACCGUAAUGCAUGAUCCCGUGACCAGACACUUGGUCACUCUGAGCUCAUUAUGAUGAUGCAUUACCGAGUGGGCCCAGUGAUACCUCUCCGUCAUACGGAGUGACAAAUCCCAGUCUUGAUCCAUGUCACCCAACAGACACUUUCNNNNNNNNNNNNNNNNNNNNNNNNNNNNNNNNNNNNNNNNNNNNNNNNNNNNNNNNNNNNNNNNNNNNNNNNNNNNNNNNNNNNNNNNNNNNNNNNNNNNNNNNNNNNNNNNNNNNNNNNNNNNNNNNNNNNNNNNNNNNNNNNNNNNNNNNNNNNNNNNNNNNNNNNNNNNNNNNNNNNNNNNNNNNNNNNNNNNNNNNNNNNNNNNNNNNNNNNNNNNNNNNNNNNNNNNNNNNNNNNNNNNNNNNNNNNNNNNNNNNNNNNNNNNNNNNNNNNNNNNNNNNNNNNNNNNNNNNNNNNNNNNNNNNNNNNNNNNNNNNNNNNNNNNNNNNNNNNNNNNNNNNNNNNNNNNNNNNNNNNNNNNNNNNNNNNNNNNNNNNNNNNNNNNNNNNNNNNNNNNNNNNNNNNNNNNNNNNNNNNNNNNNNNNNNNNNNNNNNNNNNNNNNNNNNNNNNNNNNNNNNNNNNNNNNNNNNNNNNNNNNNNNNNNNNNNNNNNNNNNNNNNNNNNNNNNNNNNNNNNNNNNNNNNNNNNNNNNNNNNNNNNNNNNNNNNNNNNNNNNNNNNNNNNNNNNNNNNNNNNNNNNNNNNNNNNNNNNNNNNNNNNNNNNNNNNNNNNNNNNNNNNNNNNNNNNNNNNNNNNGGGAGAGGUUUAGUCAACGGAUCUGCUAUAUUCAGGUCCGUAUGUACUUUACAAAUCUCUAUGUCUCCAUCUUGAACAUUUUCACGAAUGGAGUUGAAGCGACGCUUGAUGUGCCUUGUCUUCUUGUGAAACCUGGGCUCCUUGGCAAGUGCAAUAGCUCCAGUGUUGUCACAGAAGAGCUUGAUAGGCCCCGACGCAUUGGGUAUGACUCCUAGGUCGGUGAUGAACUCCUUCACCCAUAUUGCUUCAUGUGCUGCCUCCGAGGCUGCCAUGUACUCCGCUUCACAUGUAGAUCCCGCCACGACGCUUUGCUUGCAACUGCACCAGCUUACUGCCCCACCAUUCAAAAUAUACACGUAUCCGGUUUGUGACUUAGAGUCAUCCAGAUCUGUGUCGAAGCUAGCGUCGACGUAACCCUUUACGACGAGCUCUUCGUCACCUCCAUAAAUGAGAAACAUUUCCUUAGUCCUUUUCAGGUACUUCAGGAUAUUCUUGACCGCUGUCCAGUGUUCCUUGCCGGGAUUACUUUGGUACCUUCCUACCAAACUGACGGCAAGGUUAACAUCAGGUCUGGUACACAGCAUGGCAUACAUAAUAGAACCUAUGGCUGAGGCAUAGGGGAUGACGCUCAUCUCUUCUAUAUCUUCUGCCGUGGUCGGACAUUGAGCUGAGCUCAAUUUCACACCUUGUAACACAGGCAAGAACCCCUUCUUGGAUUGAUCCAUAUUGAACUUCUUCAAUAUCUUAUCAAGGUAUGUGCUUUGUGAAAGACCUAUGAGGCGUCUUGAUCUAUCUCUAUAGAUUUUGAUGCCUAAUAUAUAAGCAGCUUCUCCAAGGUCCUUCAUUGAAAAACUUUUAUUCAAGUAGGCCUUGAUGCUGUCCAAGAGUUCUAUAUCAUUUCCCAUCAAAAGUAUGGCAUCUACAUAUAAUAUGAGAAAUGCUACAGAGCUCCCACUCACUUUCUUGUAAACGCAGGCUUCUCCAUAAGUCUGUGUAAACCCAAAUGCUUUGAUCAUCUCAUCAAAGCGAAUGUUCCAACUCCGAGAUGCUUGCACCAGCCCAUAAAUCGAGCGUUGGAGCUUGCACACUUUGUCAGCAUUCUUAGGAUCGACAAAACCUUCCGGCUGUAUCAUAUACAAUUCUUCCUUAAGGAAACCAUUAAGGAAUGCCGUUUUGACGUCCAUUUGCCAUAUUUCGUAAUCAUAGAAUGCGGCAAUUUCUAACAUGAUUCGGACGGACUUCAGCUUUGCUACCGGUGAGAAAGUCUCAUCGUAGUCAACCCCUUGAACUUGUCGAUAACCCUUAGCGACAAGCCGAGCUUUAUAGAUGGUCACAUUACCAUCCGCGUCUGUCUUCCUCUUAAAGAUCCAUUUAUUUUCUAUGGCUCGCCGCUCAAUGGGCAAGUCAGUCAAAGUCCAUACUUUGUUUUCAUACAUGGAUCCUAUCUCGGAUUUCAUGGCUUCUAGCCAUUUGUCGGAAUUCGGGCCCGCCAUCGCUUCUUCAUAGUUCGAAGGUUCACCGUUGUCUAACAGCAUGAUUUCCAAGACAGGGUUGCCGUACCACUCUGGUGCGGAACGUGUCCUUGUGGACCUUCGAAUUUCAGUAGGGGCUUGAUCAGAAGUAUCUUGAUCAUUGUCAUUAACUUCCUCUCUAGUCGGUGCAGGCACCUCAGGAACAUUUUCUUGAGUUGCGCCUUUUUCUGGUUCAAGAGGUAAUACUUCAUCAAGCUCUACUUUCCUCCCACUUACUUCUUUCGAGAGAAACUCUUUCUCCAGAAAGGACCCAUUCUUGGCAACAAAGAUCUUGCCUUCGGAUCUGAGGUAGAAGGUGUACCCAAUAGUUUAUUUUGGGUAUCCUAUGAAGACGCAUUUUUCCGAUUUGGGUUCGAGCUUUUCAGGUUGAAGUUUCUUGACAUAAGCAUCGCAUCCCCAAACUUUUAGAAACGACAGCUUAGGUUUCUUCCCAAACCACAAUUCAUACGGUGUCGUCUCAACGGAUUUCGACGGAGCCCUAUUUAAAGUGAAUGCGGCAGUCUCUAAAGCAUAGCCCCAAAAAGAAAGCGGUAAAUCGGUAAGAGACAUCAUAGAUCGCACCAUAUCUAACAGAGUGCGAUUACGACAUUCGGACACACCAUUACGCUGAGGUGUUCCAGGCGGCGUGAGUUGUGAAACUAUUCCACAUUUUCUUAAGUGUGCCCCAAACUCGUGACUCAAGUAUUCUCCUCCACGAUCUGAUCGUAGAAACUUGAUUUUCCUGUCACGUUGAUUUUCAACCUCACUCUGAAAUUCCUUGAACUUUUCAAAGGUUUCAGACUUGUGUUUCAUUAAGUAGAUAUACCCAUACCUACUUAAAUCAUUAGUGAGGGUGAGAACAUAAUGAUAGCCACCGCGAGCCUCAACACUCAUUGGACCGCACACAUCAGUAUGUAUGAUUUCCAAUAAGUCGGUUGCUCGCUCCAUUGUUCCUGAGAACGGAGUCUUGGUCAUUUUACCCAUAAGGCAUGGUUCGCAUGUGUCAAAUGAUUCAUAAUCAAGAGACUCUAAAAGUCCAUCAGCAUGGAGCUUCUUCAUGCGUUUGACACCUAUGUAACCAAGGCGGCAGUGCCACAGGUAUGUGGGACUAUCAUUAUCAACCUUACUUCUUUUGGUACUCACAUUAUGAACAUGUGUAGCAUCACGUUCGAGAUUCAUAAAGAACAAACCAUUCACCAUAGGAGCAUGACCACAAAACAUAUCUCUCAUAAAAAUGGAACAACCAUUAUUCUCAGAUUUAAAAGAGUAGCCAUCUCGAAUUAAACGAGAUCCUGAUACAAUGUUCAUGCUCAAAGCUGGCACUAAAUAACAAUUAUUAAGGUUUAAAACUAAUCCCGAAGGGAGAUGCAGAGGUAGCGUGCCGACGGCGAUCACAUUGACCUUGAAACCAUUCCCGACGCGCAUCGUCACCUCGUCCUUUGCCAGUUUCCGCUUAUUCCGCAGCCCCUGCUUUGAGUUACAAAUGUGAGCAACUGCACCGGUAUCAAAUACCCAGGAGCUACUACGGGCACUAGUAAGGUACACAUCAAUUACAUGUAUAUCACAUAUACCUUUUGUUUUGCUGGCCUUCUUAUCCGCUAAGUACUUAGGGUAGUUCCGCUUCCAGUGACCGCUUCCCUUGCAAUAAAAGCACUCAGUCUCGGGCUUGGGUCCAUUCUUUGGCUUCUUCCCGGCAGCUUGCUUGCCGGGCGCGGCAACCUCCUUGCCGUCCUUCUUGAAGUUCUUUUUACCCUUGCCUUUCUUGAACUUAGUGGUUUUAUUGACCAUCAACACUUGAUGUUCCUUUCUGACUUCUACCUCUGCUGAUUUCAGCAUAGCAAAUACUUCAGGAAUGGUCUUUUCCAUCCCCUGCAUAUUGAAGUUCAUCACAAAGCUCUUGUAGCUUGGUGGAAGCGACUGGAGGAUUCUGUCAAUGACCGCAUCAUCCGGGAGAUUAACUCCCAGCUGAGUCAAGCGGUUAUGCAACCCAGACAUAGUGAGUAUGUGCUCACUGACAGAACUGUUUUCCUCCAUCUUACAGCUGAAGAAUUUGUCGGAGACUUCAUAUCUCUCGACCCGGGCAUGAGCUUGGAAAACCAUUUUCAGCUCUUCGAACAUCUCAUAUGCUCCAUGUCUCUCAAAACGCUUUUGGAGCCCCGGCUCUAGGCUGUAAAGCAUGCCGCACUGAACGAGGGAGUAGUCAUCGAAACGUGCCUGCCAAGCGUUCAUAACAUCUUGUUCUGCAGGGAGAACGGGUGCGUCACCAAGCGGUGCUUGCAGGACAUAAUCUUUCUUGGCAGCUAUGAGGAUGAUCCUCAGGUUCCGGACCCAGUCCGUAUAGUUGCUGCCAUCGUCUUUCAGCUUGGUUUUCUCUAGGAACGCGUUGAAGUUGAGGACUACGUUGGCCAUUUAAUCUACAAGACAUAUUGUAAAAUAUUUAGACUAAGUUCAUGAUAAUUAAGUUCAACUAAUCAAAUUAUUAGUGAACUCCCACUUAGAUUAGACAUCCCUCUAGUCAUCUAAGUAUUACAUGAUCCGAGUUAAACUAGACCGUGUCCGAUCAUCACGUGAGACGGACUAGUCAACAUCGGUGAACAUCUUCAUGUUGAUCGUAUCUUCUAUACGACUCAUGCUCGACCUUUCGGUCUUCCGUGUUCCGAGGCCAUGUCUGUACAUGCUAGGCUCGUCAAGUCAACCUAAGUGUUUGCAUGUGUAAAUCUGUCUUACACCCGUUGUAUGUGAACGUCUGAAUAAAACACCCGAUCAUCACGUGGUGUUUUGAAACAGCGAACUGUCGCAACGGUGCACAGUUAGGGGGAACACUUCUUGAAAUUAGUAUGAGGGAUCACCUUAUUUACUACCGUCGUUCUAAGUAAACAAGAUGCAAAACAUGAUAAACAUCACAUGCAAUCAAAUAAUAAACGUGACAUGAUAUGACCAAUAUCACAUAGCUCCUUUGAUCUCCAUCUUGGGGCUCCAUGAUCAUCUUGUCACCGGCUUGACACCAUGAUCUCCAUCAUCAUGAUCUCCAUCAUCGUGUCUCCAUGAAGUUGCUCGCCAACUAUUACUUCUACUACUAUGGCUAACGCGUUUAGCAAUAAAGUAAAGUAAUUUACAUGGCGUUUCUCGAUGACACGCAGGUCAUAUAAAAGAAUAAAGACAACUCCUAUGGCUCCUGCCGGUUGUCAUACUCAUCGACAUGCAAGUCGUGAAUCCUAUUACAAUAGCAUGAACAUCUCAUACAUCACAUAUAGAUCAUUCAUCAUUCAUCACAACUUUGGCCAUAUCAUAUCACAAACCACUUGCUGCAAAAACAAGUUAGACGUCCUCUAAUUGUUGUUGCAAGUUUUACGUGGCUGAAUUAGGGUUCUAGCAAGAGCGUUUUCUUACCUACGUUAAAGCCACAACAUGAUUUGUCAACUUCUAUUUACCCUUCAUAAGGACCCUGUUCAUCGAUUUCGCUCCAACUAAAGUAGGAGAGACAGACACCCGCCAGCCACCUUAUGCAACUAGUGCAUGUUAGUCGGUGGAACCGGUCUCACGUAAGCGUACGUGUAAGGUUGGUCCGGGCCGCUUCAUCCCACAAUACCGCUGAAGCAAGAAAGGACUAGUAACGGCAAGAAAGUUGACAAAUCUACGCCCACAACAAAUUGUGUUCUACUCGCGCAAGAAGAACUACGCAUAGACCUAGCUCAUGAUGCCACUGUUGGGGAACGUUGCAGAAAACAAAAAUUUCCUACUCGUUUCACCAAGAUCAUCUAGGAGUUCAUCUAGCAACGAGUGAUUAGAUGCAUCUACAUACCUUUGUAGAUCGUGCACGGAAGCGUUCAAAAGAACGGUGAUGAUGUAGUCGUACUCGACGUGAUCCAAAUCACCGAUGACCAGUGCCGAACGGACGGCACCUCCGCGUUCAACACACGUACGGGACGGGAGACGUCUCCUCCUUCUUGAUCCAGCAAGGGGGAAGGAGAGGUUGAUGAAGAUCCAGCAGCACGACGGCGUGGUGGUGGAUGCAGGGCGUCACAGCAGCAGGGCUUCGCCGAGACUACGAGGGAGAGACGUAACAGGGGGAGGUGGAGGCGCCAGGGGCUGGUCUAAAAUUCCUCCUCUCCCCCCCACUAUAUAUAGGGGUGCCAGGGGGGCGCCGGCCCUAGUAGAUGGCAUCUACUAGGGGGGCGGCGGCCAAGGGGAGGUUUCCCUCCCCCCCAAGGCACCUAGGGGUGCCUUCCACCACAUGGACUCUUCCAUGGUGGAAACCCUAGGCGCAUGGGCCUAUAGGGGCUGGUGCCCUUGGCCCAUCUAGGCCAAGGCGCACCCCCUACAGCCCAUGUGGCCCACCGGGACAGGUGGCCCCACCCGGUGGACCCCCGGGACCCUUCCGGUGGUCCCGGUACAAUACCGAUAACCCCGAAACUUGUCCCGAUGCCCGAAAUAGCACUUCCUAUAUAUAAUUCUUUACCUCCGGACCAUUCCGGAACUCCUCAUGACGUCCGGUAUCUCAUCCGGGACUCCGAAGAACAUUCGGGUUUCUGCAUAUACAUAUCUUCAUAACCCUAGCGUCACCGAACCUUAAGUGUGUAGACCCUACGGGUUCGAGAGACAAGCAGACAUGACCGAGACGACUCUCCGGUCAAUAACCAACAGCGGGAUCUGGAUACCCAUGUUGGCUCCCACAUGCUCCACGAUGAUCUCAUCGGAUGAACCACGAUGUCGAGGAUUUAAUCAAUCCCGUACGCUAUUCCCUUUGUCUAUCGAUAUGUUACUUGCCCGAGAUUCGAUCGUCGGUAUCCCAAUACCUCGUUCAAUCUCGUUACCGGCAAGUCACUUUACUCGUACCGUAAUGCAUGAUCCCGUGACCAGACACUUGGUCACUCUGAGCUCAUUAUGAUGAUGCAUUACCGAGUGGGCCCAGUGAUACCUCUCCGUCAUACGGAGUGACAAAUCCCAGUCUUGAUCCAUGUCACCCAACAGACACUUUCGGAGAUACCCGUAGUCUACCUUUAUAGUCACCCAGUUACGUUGUGACGUUUGGCAUACCCAAAGCACUCCUACGGUAUCCGGGAGUUACACGAUCUCAUGGUCUAAGGAAAAGAUACUUGACAUUGGAAAACUCUAGCAAAUGAACUAUACGAUCUUGUGCUAUGUUUAAGAUUGGGUCUUGUCCAUCACAUUAUUCUCCCAAUGAUGUGAUCUCGUUAUCAAUGACAUCCAGUGUCCAUAGUCAGGAAACCAUGACUAUCUGUUGAUCAACGAGCUAGUCAACUAGAGGCUCACUAGGGACAUGUCGGUGUCUAUUAUUCACACAUGUAUUACGAUUUCCGGAUAACACAAUUAUAGCAUGAAUAAAGACAAUUAUCAUGAACAAGGAAAUAUAAUAAUAAUGCUUUUAUUAUUGCCUCUAGGGCAUAUUUCCAACACUUGCAUGGGCGAAAAUAUCCCUCCAAGCAUUGUUAGCCACAGCACGGUCAAGGCAAACCUUGACGUUUGCCCGUCCACCUCGCCGGUUAUCAAAGGUGUAUGGGAGACCUGCAAAACCAAGGUCGCCCAGACCACAAACCUCAAGAACAUCACGGAAAUCAAGCAUCUGACCUGCCGAGCGUGGUGUGUCGGAGAAGUGCUCAAAACUCCACAUCGCCUCGUUGAAAUCACCCACCACGACCCAAGGCAUGUUGGCGUGCUGAUGGAGAUUACGGAGGAGGGACCACAUGUGAUGACGGUCCUCCGUUCGGGGCUCGCCAUAAACACAGGUGAGCCGCGAGGGAGGCUCGCCCUCCGCGCCAGUUACAUACGCGUCAAUAUAUCGUUCAUUUAUUUCUUUUACAUCAAGACUCACGGACUCAUGCUAAUACAAAGCAAGACCUCCACUACGACCCACACAAUCGAAAGCUUCUCCAAUGAUGAUUAGCCACGUUGCUAAUCACGUAAAGCACGCAACUAUCCUACGUAGGUGUAGCAUUACCCGUUGGAGUAUGCCGGUUCUCUUAAGCAUGGAUUAAUAAUAGUAUUAGUUAAAUCCUAACGCUUCUCACAUUCUCUUCCUUUCAUGUGAAAUUGUGAAGCAACAAAUUCAGAGAGAUGAGUAGAGUGAAUUAACGACAUAUAUUUUCUGAGGGUUAGCUAGGCGCUUAGGUGAACGCCGAACGCAUUCGACACCGAACACACAUGUUACGCCCACUAAAAAACUGAACAUUCUCCACUGUGCUUGGUGACCUACCCAACCAAACCAAAGCAUCCACCAUUACCGUUAGCUAGCUAGCUCAACUCCCCGUCACCUACCCGGCCACUCCGCUCUCCCUAUAAACACCUCCCGUGCGGACCUCACUUGCAUCUCACAACACAAGCAGUACACACACACAAGCUAGCCACAGCUCGACCAGCACGUUUCAGCUAGCUAGGCCAGGACAAUCAACAGCGAAGAUGGCCUCCCUCACCGUCUCGCAGACGACACCGGCGGCCGGCAACGCCAACAAGCAGCGCGAGGGCGCGGAGAUCAUCACCGGCGCUGAGGCGUGCUACGAGCACUCCAAGGAGCUCCUCAAGGGGCUGGGGUUCCCGGGCGGGGUGAUGCCGCUGCGCGGGCUGGAAGAGUGCGGGCUGGUGCGGGAGACCGGGUACGUGUGGAUGCGGCAGGGAAAGCCCUACGAGCACCACUUCCGCGCCACGGGCACCCGGGUGCGCUACGACGCCGAGGUGACGGCGUACGUGGAGGAAGGGCGGAUGAAGCGGAUGACCGGGGUCCGGAGCAAGCAGAUGAUGCUCUGGGUGCCCAUCGUGGAGAUGAGCCUCGACGGCGCCGACAAGGUCUACUUCAAGUCCAACGUCGGCAUCGGCCGCUCCUUCCCCGCCGCCGCCUUCGCCGACGAGGACGCCGCUGCUGACGACGCGCCGGCGCCGGCCGGCGCCACCGAGGCCAACGACAAGCAUUGAUCGAUCGAUCGACGUCGCAGCGUUCAUAUGGUUUGUGCUGGUGCCUAUAGUACCUGUGUGUGAUACGACUGUACGAGUGAAAGUGAUCUGCGGUGCACGCAUUGGCAUGAGUACGUACGUGGUGCGUCUCGUGCGUGGAGUAUCUUUUUUAUUUUGCGAGUUUGCUUCUAUUAAUUGUUACCAACGAUGUAAUGCUACGUGAAUAUUCAAUCAAUAAUCGAUGAAGUCUUUGUUACCCCUUUGUUACACAAGAGCAAGGUGUUGGGCGGUGUCCCGAUCGAGUAGAGUGGUUGAGCUACCGCAUUGGCGCUACUAUCCGUCUAUCUUAUCCUUCUCCCAAUCUGUCCCAUCAUAAUUACUCGUAAUGAAGGGAAGCACUGUGCCAUCGACUUCAACUUAGCAAGUUAUGGUGCCAAGUCGCUUUCGGAAUUGAUGAUGGUUCUACAAAUAGGAAUCGCUAACAGCUACACAAGACCCGGGUGUUUCUUCAUUUUCAUUUUGGUGCACUACUAGCACAUAUGCAUGCGUUAGAGCAUCUCCAACAGCCGCGCUAAGCGCCGCGCGCAAAAAAUUUGUUUGCCGCGCGCGCUUCGGUUGGUUUAGCGCUGCCGCGAGCGCUGGCUCCAGCAGCCGCGCUAUAAUGCAGCGCGCGCGCCGCUUCAGCAGAGCGCAAAAAUACAGCGCGCGCGCGCCGCACAAACCACAUAUACAUUUCAAAGAAGAGGAGCAAAAAUGAUCAAACAAACAAAAUAAAUCAACAAUAAAUAGUUCAAUUUCAUUAUCAUUACAACUUAAACAAAUAGUUUAUCGUUCAGUACAACAAAUAAUGCAAUAAACACAACAAAUAGUUCAUGAACAAUACAAUGUUGAAUGCAGAAAUCAUCAUGCUCUUUGUCGUUCAUGUCAUGCCCACCACUCUUCAAUCAGAUCAUUCUGAAGUUCAUUGUGCGUUGCGGGACGCCGAAUGACAUGAUAGGAGGCAAUAAAACGGGCUACCCUUUCAGCCCUACGUCGCACUCGCACGGGAUGUCCCAAGAGCUCAUACUGUGAGUAGUCUAAAUCUUGGCCACGCUCAUUCUCGAUGAUCAUGUUGUGCAUGAUCACAUAAGCGUGCAUGAUGUACCAAAGCAUUUUUUGAUCCCAAAAUCUAGCCGGGCCUCUCACAAGAGCAAAUUGGGCUUGCAAAAUCUCAAAUGCUCUCUCCACAUCUUUUCUAGCCGCCGCCUGAGCAUUAUGGAAAUCAAGAUUUUUCUUACCUUCCGGCUUUUUCAACGGCUUCACGAAGGUUUGCCACUUUGGAUAGAUGUCAUCCGCUAGAUAAUAGUCAUAGUUGUACGUACGGCCAUUUGCUACAAACUGCACCGGUGGCAACUCACCGUUUGCAAUCUUAUUCAACAGUGGUGACCGGUUGACAAUAUUGAUGUCAUUCAAAGAUCCAGGCAAUCCAAAGAAUGCAUGCCAAAUCCAAGUCUCCUGAUCGGCCACAGCUUCAAGGAUUAUUGUGGAACCCUUUUUUUGGCCGUGGAAUUGCCCAUGCCAUGCCUUUGGACAAUUCUUCCAACUCCAAUGCAUGCAAUCUAUUGAGCCAAGCAUGCCAGGAAAGCCGCGCGCUUUGUUCAUCGCCAAUAGCCUUGCGGCGUCUUCAGUAGUGGGAGAUCUCAAAUACUCCUCGCCAAACACUUGCACAAUUCCCACUGCAAAGCGCUUGACACACAUGAUGGCUUGGCUCUCACCCAUAGCCAAGUGAUCAUCAACUAGAUUAGCCGGGAUACCGUAUACCAACAUAUGCAAAGCGGCUGUCACCUUCAGAAAGGUGCUAUGCCCGAGCUCUCCGGCGGCAUUCCUCCUUUGCUGGAAAAACCGGUCAUGGCUUGCUAGUUUCUCUGCAAUGCACCUGAACAAGUCAGUGCUCAUUCUAAACCGGCGACGAAAAUACGACUCCGGGUAUGUGGGAUUAUCCACGAAAUAGUUCUUCAUCAAUCUGUUAAUGGGCAUCAAUCCUAUCUCUCCAAAUUUUCUCCCGACCCAUAACCGAACCACCGUGCUUCGGUUUUUUAUUGAUAUGCAUAGCUAGGAUCAUUGCAAGAUCCUCCUCCUCUUCCAUAUCAAAUUCUUCUUCGAAAGAAUCAUACGACGAACUCAUCUACAAUGUUCAAUACUAUACUAUAAAAACUACAAUUCAAAACAUGCACCAAAUUCAUGAAGUUUGAGCAAUACAUAUCUUGUAGGCGUUUUGUCGAACACCUUGCGGGCGCGGCGCGGCAGCGAGCGCUCGGGCGUUGUUCCUCGGACGACGGAGGCGUGCGAGCGCCGGCGGGACUAGGAGGGGAUGGGGUGGAAGCGCGGCGGCGCGGGGAUAGGCCGGGGAAGCGGCUGAACGGUCGCCGGGGGGCGCGGGCGGCAGCGGCGGCGCAGCCGGAUGGGGUGGAAGUGGGGAGGAAGUGCGAUAGCGAGCGCUCGAGUUUGCCGCGCGCUGUAGCGGGCGCCCGAAAUACACCGCGCGGGACAGUGUUUCCGACAGCGCGCCCAACUCGUUUUAGCGCGCGCACCGUUUUUGCGCGCCCGCUGGAGCGACCCGCCGCGUUGCGCGCGCGCUAAAACGGACUAAUUUGCGGCGUGGCGCUAGUUUAGCGCGCCUGUUGGAGACGCUCUUACAACGGGAGAAAAAAUAAUAUGCAUUUAAAGUUAGUGAGAAUUAUAUGUGUAAGUAAAACCCUGUGUGCACGUGAAAAAAGAACAUUUAGCUUCUUGAUUUUGCUGGGUAUGAAGUAAUCAAUUCGCUAUUUUUCUAUUCAUUGAUUGAGGGCAUUUAAGAGUUUUAUUACAUCAUCGUAUGCCAGAGAAGGCUCAUGGAUUAUUAUUUUUUACGAAAAGGCCCAUGAAUCAUUCAAUGUACUUUUCUUUUCAAUCGAGGAGAUUUAAGGUAUGAAGUUUCUGAAUAUUGUACAAAAUAUGAACCAUUUUCUAAAUCCUAAAUAUGUUUUUAAAAAUAAUGUACACUUUUAGAAAAACGUGAACAAAACUUGAAACAGGAAUAUCUUUUAAAAUUCACAAAUAUUUUUUUAAAA